This 64934-nucleotide long non-coding RNA is filed under the name Sorghum bicolor (sorghum). Its description in RNAcentral is "long non-coding RNA (SBIC_LNC013949)". The stretch from base 5119 to 5227 matches the Rfam family "Plant small nucleolar RNA R71". The record is from RNAcentral. Lineage: Eukaryota; Viridiplantae; Streptophyta; Magnoliopsida; Poales; Poaceae.
UGUAGCUAGCGAUAGGUAGCAAAGCACGGCAGCAAAGCAAACCACCGUGCCUCUCUCUCUCGUCUCGUCUCUGCGUUGCGCCGCUCCUUAAACAAACGCCAGGAGAAGGCUGCGGCACGCGUCCCCCUCCGUCUCCAGCCUCCACCCAUCUCAAAACCCUAGCAACCGCGCCUCCAUCCCUACCCGAAUCCCAAUCCAAGCCCGAUCCCCCGGCGGCGAGGACCCCUCCGCGCCGAUUCGUCCACGCAGAUCGGCGGGCGGGGGCAGAUUCAGAUUCGGGUUCGCGGUUCGCUCGGGUCGUCUCGCCGGGGUCCACCGCGGCGGUCGGGGAGCUCUUCUGGGCGCCCGCGCCGCUCACCACCAAGUCCUGGGCGGACGUCGAGGACGACGACGACGACGAUUACUUCGCCACCACUGCGCCGCCGCGCCCCGUCUAGGGCACUGCCGACGAGCCCGUCAAGGAGGAGGAGGACGUCGAGGAUGUUGUGCGGGCCGCCGAUUUUGUUGUGGAAUGUGCCUAUGAUGUUCUUAUACCGUCAUAUAGGUUAAUUUGUGUUUGUCUAUUUUCAGAUAAAAAUGAUUGCAGGUUUAUACAAAAACAAAAUGGAUAGCUUCAUUUAUAUUUGCGUACCCAGCCCAAAAUGGUCUCAUGUUUAGCGGAAUGAAAUUUUGGGAUAGUUAUUGUAGGUUUGCCUCUUGACUUUUUCUUUUUUUGCCUAUACAAUCUGCUACUUGCCAGCCUUCUUUUCUGGAUGCCUCUUUUCCAACCUUAUUUAUAUAUAUAGAUGCUAAGGUCUGUGCUCUUUUAUAUCCAUUUUCUUAUUGUUGUAUGAUAAGCUGCAAUUUAAACAUAGCUUCUCCUUUGAUGAUUUGGUCAUUCCAGUCAGAAAAUUUUGGUCUUCUCCUGCAGGUUGUGGUCAUUUAAUGUUACUUUCAUUUUUCAUGUACCUUUUUAAGCCUUCUAUAUCCCCUUUCAAUUUCAGUUUUCAUUUGUUUUCGAAAUGGAAUGACUAUAGUUCUCAUAGAUGCAGCUUUACUCAUUGCUCCAUAUUAUUUCCUCAUUUCUUUUCUUUGUACAGCAAAGAAUAAGGUGAAGAUGGCGGACACAUUUGCUAUACACAGUAGAUCAAUACCUUCUGCUACUACUUGAUGAGAAUCUCCCCUAUUUAACUAGAUUAACAAUUACUUUAGUGUUUUGCCAAAUUCAUCAUGACUUUACUAUGUGGCCUCACCUCCAAUGCUAUUUGCUCAAUCGACGUAGCAUAUGGUAAAUGUUACACUGCAUCCUGUACACAUAAGCCUCGUAUAUUACUAGGUACAAGCAUUACAAAUCUUAUCUACAAAUACACACCUCCAUGCAACCAUGUAGUAAAAAAAUGAGUUUUGGCAAUGUGUUUUUUCCAUUAAUGUCUACAACAAGAAGUACGUACUUCACAUUGAGUAGACUAGCAAUGGGGCUCACAUUGCCAGCUACAAUGAUACAUGCUUCAAUUUGGAUGUCUUCUAGGCUUUAUAGUAUUCAAAGUCUGAAUAUGAAUGAUUCUUUGUGCAUGUACAAACUCAUUUUUCUGCACUACAGAAUUCUUCCAGUCAGAAUGAUGUGCCUAUAACAGUUAGUUGCUUAUGGUUGGUUCCUUUGUUCCUUGCAAGGCUUUCUGUUAAUCGCUAAUUAGGUUUGCACAACUAUCGUGCUGUUGACUGCUAAGGACCGUUUUAGAGGCAGUUCACUUAAGAAAACCGCCUCUGAAUUCUUAGAGCCAGUUCCUUUAAGUGAACCUCCUAUGAAUCUCUAUUUUCAGGAGCAGUUGUCCUUAGUGAGCCGACGAUGAAGAUCCAUGAUUUCCAGAGGUGGUUCACUUAACAGAACUGUACCAACAAAUAAGUUAUCGGAGACGGUUUGCUUAGUCAACCACCCCUGAAAAACUUACUCCAGACUCUUUCUUCUUCCUCGCGACCGAGCGCAACACCUUUCGUUCUUAGCUCUCGACGGCCGAAGAGAAACGGCAAGAGGAGAGGGGGAGGUUUUGGCCUUUCAACUUUCAAACAAGUUGGAAUUGUGGGGUGAGUCUCUUCAGCCAUAAAGCCUAUUGGAAUUUUGCAGAAACAUUAUAUUUGAUUCUACGCCGAGAUCUAUAUAGAGAGGGGGGAGCAAUUUGGGCUCUAAUUUGUUUUUUUAUUUAUUACAAGUAAUUUGGGCAAAAAUUUUUAUUUAGUGACACGAUAUCUUUUCUCAUGCAUGCUAGCUUUUUUUCUUUACAUUUAUAUAGGGUACUAAAUAUGGACCGGUCAUGGAUGUACAAAAAACGAAGAAACAAAGUCACCUACAUACAUGAAUUGAAUGGUUUCAGUGAAGCAGCUAAAAGACAUGCUUUGAUCAAGCAGACAAAGGAUAUAUAUUGACCCUGUUGUGACUAUAGAAACCAAAUAGUGCGCUAGGAUCCAAAUAAAAUAAGGUCACACUUGAUAAGAAGGGGUUUCAUGAAGAACUACGAGAUUUGGGAUCAUUAUGGUGAGAGAAGUACGAAGGCAAGGGCUACACAAGCACCAAGAGUUCGUGGAGUUGACAAUGCCCUUGUUUUCACGAUGCAUGAUGAUGUUAUAAGAGAAGACUUUGAUGGUGGUGGUGGUGGUGGUGGAGAUGACGGUUGUGACGAUGGAGGAGGAUAUGGUGGAGAGGAUGAUGAUGGUGAAGUCAACAACGAAGAAAAAGAGGACUUCCUAGAAGAUAUGCUACUCAAUAUGGAAAAAGAAUUACUAUUGAAAGGGCUAAAAAAAACUUGGAGGGAGUAAAGAAAGCAAUGAAAGAACGCUUAUAUCCGGAGGAACAGGGAUGUGAGAAAAGAUGGUCCUUGCUUUGUUUUUUGCUGGACAUACUGAUUUUGAAGGCUAAGUAUGCAUGGUCCGAUAGGAGCUUCAAUGACCUAUUGACUCUCUGGGCUGUUGUGCUUCCUAAACCAAACUUUGUGCCCACCAACACAUAUCAAGCAAAGAAGCUUAUCAGUCCACCUACAAUGGGUGUGGAACGAUUAUAUGCGCAUCCAAACCAUUGUAUCCUUUAUCGUGGGGUCUUCAAAGACCUAAUGAAUUGUCCGACGUGUGGUGCAAGUUGAUACGAAAGGAACGACAACAGUAUUGAGGAAGACAUGGGUACUAAGUGUAGAAAAAAGAGAAAGAAGUGUGGAAAGAAAGGAGACGCUACUAAGAAUGUUGAAGAAGAAAAUAGCACCCUAGGAGUGCUCACGUGUUCUCUUCUUGCUCCAUGAAGUGAUCUUCAUAUUUCACAAUCUUGCCAGGAAAGUCUUCCCAUCCACGGUGAGGCUGGGCAGCCUGACGGUGGGCUUGGCGUCUUCUCCUAUUGCGUUGCUUCCUGAUCUGCUCAUGGUUAACUAGUGUUCUAAAUUGACAGUGUACCUUUCUGGUAGGUAGGUUGAAGUGGAUAUGUCCGGAACCAAUGUAGAUGUUGGCGUUGGCUGUGUAGAGGAUUGGUCUUCCCAAGAGGAUCGAGGACUCAUCGUCUCCCUGCAUGUCAAAAACUAGAAAAUCUGCAGAUAUAUAUUGUCCUUGAAUUCUUACCAUGACAUCCUUGACCACUCCUUCAGGGAACCUUAGUGACUGAUCCGCCAUCUGCCACUGAAUAUAUGUUGGGUAUAAAGGUAAAUCAAAUAACUCAUCAUAUACCUAUUUUGACAUUAUGUUGCAGCCUAAUCCAGUGUCGCAGACGGCGUGAGCGAAGGUGGUGUCUUUGAUUGUGCAUUCAAUGAUUGGAACUCCUGGAUCAGAUCUCUUGGUUGGAAAUGGCUUGGGUAGCAUAUGAUCAUUCUCUGUGUUGAGAGCAGUGAUCAAUUGAGUUGUCUCCGCAGGUGCAUGCUUGGUCCUCCUCCAUCUUCUAUUGUUUCUAUUAUUCUUGUUCUUCGUCAUUGGUUGCUAUUCUUGCUCUUCUUGUUGAUGAAAUUACUUUGGGGCUGUAGGAGUUUUCAGGACACAGUUCUUGAAUGUGAAUCUCUCUUUCUUGUCCUUGAUGGAUAGGACGAUCUUGGCAUACUCUGCAUAGAUGAUGGCUUUUGUUGUGCACAAGAAUGGUCUGCCCAAAUCGAUGGGUGCCUUCUCAUCUACUCCUGUCUCCAUGACCACAAAGUAACCUAGGACAUACGGUUGCCCCACUCUAAUGACAACUUCUUCUAGUACUCUCUCAGGGUAGCAAAUGGACUGAUAUGCAAGCUUAGGCAUGAUGUUGACACUUGCGCCAAAAUCGCAGAUAGUCUCUGGAAAGUUGUGGCAUCCUAUAGAGAUAGGAACGACAGGUCUUCCAGGGUCUCCCAUCUUCUCUGGUAGAGAGUGGUCAAUCCACUGUACAUCUGCAGGCUCAAUAUGAUAUUGGGUUGCAUUGUGAAUGUCAACAAGGUUAGCAGUUUCUAAAUCUUCUGGUUGGCCUGGAAUCUUGCCUUUUUCUAAUGGAGGAACAGCAGCAACUAAUUGUGAUUCGAGCAUUUUAUUGAAACUAUGCUGAUUCUUUAUGGCAGAAGCAAAAGUAUCCAUUCUAGUAUGUAUGUUUUUCAAAGUUUUAUCAUUUGAUGUUAGUUUCCUAGUCAUUUGAUCUAGUAGUUUGGAUUGACUAGUAACUAAUUCUCUCAAAGGCGGAAGGUUAAAAUUAUUAGAAUUAUUACCUUGGUUGUUAUCUUGGUAAUUACCUUAUCGGGGUUGUUGGUUCCACCCUUGAUUGUUGAGGACAAUAGUAGGUAUUGUUGUUGAUGAAGCUCACAUCCUCUUGUAGCGUAGGGCAACUGACAGCUGAGUGCCCGUAGUCUCCACAUUCUUCACAUGUCAUAUAGGAAUCAUUGAUGUGCAUGACUUCCUUCUUCUCUAUGUCGAGCUUCUUCAUGAUGAGGUCUAGCUUGGCAGUGACCAUGUCAGCUUCCUUGAGAUGAUGGAUUCCUCCUCCUUUCUUCCGAGGUUGAGUACGUUCUUCAUUGCAUGUUGAAUUGGAGGCCAUCUUCUCCAAGUGCUUUCGCGUCUGAGAGCUUAAGUGACAGGAAAGCUCCCCCGGCUACAACAUCAAUAAACUCACAGGUACUAGAGAUGAGCCCAUGAUAGAAAGUCUGCAUUAACAGCCACUCCUCUAUCCCAUGAUGAGGAUAGUCUUCAAUGUAAUUUUAGAAUCUUUCCCAUGCUUCAGUGAAUGAUUGAUCAUGUUGUUGUUGGAAACUUACAAUCUUCCCACACAGAGCAUUUGUCUUGGCUGUACGAAAGAAUUUUGCUAGGAAAGCAGUCGAGCAUAGGUCCCAUGUAUUAUGUUUGUCUUCACCUAAAUGCUCUUAUGUUUGUUCUUCUACUUGUUCUUCAAACUCUUCUUCUAAUGUUGGAGUUGGCUCCUCUAAAGAGCUAGCUUGAGCAGAAGAGGGUGUUCUUGAUGGUGACUCAAAUUUAUCCCUUGCUUCAACAAACUUCUUCUUUCUAAGGAGUUUCUCUAGAUCUUCAGUAAAGUUUUUUGGAAGAGAAAAACCAUUUAUUCAUCACCCAACAUAAGAUAAGAAAAUGAUAACGACGAAGGGUGUACCUAAUUGAGUUAGAAAUCGAUUGGUAAUAUGACUUUAUCCAUGUGUAUAUAUGUUAUCAAUAUAUCCUAAGUUUAUUGUGCCUUCUAUUGAUGGUCCUUAAAUACCAAAUAUAAUUAGUAAAUAAAUAGAGAAAAGGAUCCAAAUGUAACCAACACCCAGACUUAGGGUUUUAUCUGACAGAAUUCCACGAGUUUUGGUGUUUGUCUAUUUUUGUAGGGGGUUAUUAGGAAAUAUGGAGGAAAGGCCCACACGUCGGGAUUACAUAGAGAUAUUAACGUGCACUGCGAUUAUCCAACAUCUAGAAGAGUCCAGAAGCCACAGAAACGAGCGGGAGGGCGAGCGGGCCCGGGGCAGGGUGCCCGCCCUCCCCCCUUGGGUGCUCGCCCUGGCCUGAGAGCCAAUCAGGCUCCGCCUCGCAGAUCAUGCUCCACCGACCUAAGAGAUUAAGAAAAACCGUGCGAUUAAGGUCGGUUUGAUCCGACGGUCCAUAUUCAUUUGGAGGGACUAUAUAAGCAGCCCCCCUGGCCCCUAGAGAGGAGGACCUGAGAAGCCCUAAUUCAUUCAUUCAUCUCGGGAGAAGAAGUCUUUGAUCAAGCCCUCGAGCCACCACAUCAACUAGAUCUCUAGUUUAGCAUAGCUACAUAGGAUUAGAACUAGAAGGAGUCAAUCUUCGAUUGGUUUCCAUAUCUGUCAAGAGGAUUCUUGGUAAUUCCUCUACUGUUCUUCAUUUUUUCAUCAUUGUUCUUCAAUAUUAUGAAUAUGACUUUGUUCUACUUCAAUAUAUUGAUUAUGACUUUGCUCUACUUGUUUAUAUUCGCAAUUAUAUCGUCCUUAGUUUGUCAUAGUUAUAUGCUUGGCUUAGUUAGAUUGGAUUUAUAUACAUGUUUAGGAUCAUAUAGCGUUUAUCCAUGUGUACAGUGGGUAAACGAUAAGUAUUGUGUAGGCGUGGUGUCUAUACCGUAUUUAUCUGCGAUUGUAUCCUAUAUGCCGAAUCGCGGGGUAGUUCGUGGUGGUGACAGCUCCUUUGAUUCUUAUAUAGUCCCCCUCUCGUGUAUAGGGUAGGCAGAACAACAUUAUUACAGGGGAGUGAUUGCUAUGUUUCUCAUUUUCCUUGAUAAUAUCACUAUGCAUGGGCGUAGUCAUGUCUCGCAAUGAUUGACAAGUAUAAUUGCACUAACUAUGAUAUGCUAGACUUUAUAGUUAAGAAUAACUUAGGAAAUAUUCUUGUAGUUCAUCCUAAUUCCAUGCUAAUGACUUGUGUUGACACUUGCUAACACCACUUGAAUACUAGGUUGUCAUCCCCAGCAUGGCACUAGAGUGUACUAUGGUAUUUAUACGCACACAGAUAAAUCCGCAAGCGCACGGAUACUGUUGUAGCUUUUACCCGGUUAAAGGUUUUAUCGUAUCCACAGGGAAACGGAAGAACCAACUACGCUCUAACUUAACCAAGAUAGAUAGAUAGGUGUAAAUAGGAAAGAUGGUAGAAUUGAAUAAGAACAAUAUUAAAGGUAAAAUGAUAAUGGAGGAAUAUAGAGUAGAGCAAUCUAAUAUAUGGGUGAUAAUAGGAGAAUAGAGAGAAUAACUAUGGUUUCUCUACUUCAAAAGGGUAUGUGAUAUGACCAUGCCACCAAGCAAGAUGUCACAAGCUUCAAGUCAAUCUACAUCCACUCAAGUUUCACCUACACCGACACCAGCCCAAGUCAUCGAUGGACCGAUUACACGUAGUCGUGCAAAUAAGCUACAACAAGAGGUAUAUAGAAGAAGAGAAGGAUAAAUCGGACCUGAAGAACAGACCAGUGCAAGUUCCAGAAGAAGCCAAAAACGGACCAGUGGAAGCCAAAAACGGACUAGUGUAAAGAAAUCUUCAUAACUUUUUAGUCACAAAAGCUAGGAAGGUCUAUGAGGACUUGUUGGAAAUCUUGUCGAGUCUACUUUCUAAUAAAUCUAGUGGCGACCAGUUUGGAUACACCAUAUUGCCUGCAGACCAGAAUUAGUAUAGACUGCUCAGAAGGUUAAUAGUCUGUCAUGACAGAAUGUUGGUACAACUUGCCAAGUAAAACUGUACCAAUCUACAAUGUUUCGAUGGAAAGCCCUUUGAGUCUAGUUUCACACCCAAGAAACGGUUCAUCAUUUGGACUUCCCAAUAAGAAGUUAUGGUCAGUUUAUUGGAAACUGCUCUGGAGGCCAACAGUCACGCGAAGCCACUUCAGGAAUCCAUUCCGAGGGGACCUUUCACAUUGCCUUCCCUCAGAAACUCUAUUUUGUUUUCAUACCUAUCUAGCAGGGCUGUUGCUAGUAUAAAUACUCCCUAAGACUCAUUGUAAUCUAUGACUUUUGAUGAUUGAAAUACAGAACCCCUUUGUUCAGCUGCGUGCUAACAAAUCUAGAGAGUGAUCUCUACCCCUUUGCUCUUGUGAUUUCCUCGUGGGAUUACAUAGGCGGUGGCUUCAUCCGCUCCCAAUUGGUGCUCCUACUCCCUUCAAGGUAUUCCUUGAUUGAUUGUAGGCUAUGUUGGUUGGUUUCUUGAGAGUGUGGUUGGGCGAAUCCUCGAUUCAGGUUGCCAGUUAAAGACGGUGGUUGGCUUCGAGUUUUAUUUGCCAGGUUACACUAGUUAUCGCUGCUUGCUGCAAGUUAUCCGGCUGUUCUUCAGCUAGUUAUCGGUGUUCAUCCUAUGUCGUGAAGAUCGGGACAACGUGACACAUCAUCUGAUAUCAAAGCUUUCGUUACCACAGUAGGAAUUUUAUCCCUAGCUACAUAUAUAUUUUUGCUUUGUCCUAUCCACCAAAAAGCCAGAAAAAUAUAUUGCUUAGACCUUUGUUUCAAUCUGUUAUUUUAGUGAGUUCGGUUACGUCGCAGUCCAUUAGAGUCUUUGUUUUAGUUGCUGAUCAUUUAUCCUUCGCGUGUUCUUUGUGCCUCUUUUAUAUCUAAAAAUCCCCACAAAAAAAUCUAUAUAGCCUAUAUCAUUCUUUGUGUUAUCCUUGAUCCUAUCAAAUUAUAGUUUCUGGUUGUGCUUUGUUUCUAUCAUCAAGUUUGCAAGUAUUAUAUCUGAUCACUGUGUUUAGUUCUAUAUAAAAAAAGUGUGUCAAAAAAGAAAAGAAAGUGCAAAAAAAAAGUGAAGUAAAAAAAGGUAGAGAAAGGUUCAGAGAGAAAGUGUGAAAGAUUAGUUGGUUUAUGUGCACAAGUGCUGAAAGUUUCAUAUCAAGUUCUGCAACCAGUUUGCUAUCUUUGUUUGGUGCAAUAUUUUGGUUGGGUCUGAUUGCAACACUUGCAGCCCAAUCAUACUCCUUGUUUGCAUCAAAUCUGAAUUUUCUUUGUGCGUGUGUGUGAUCAUUUACUUCUUUCAUAUCUUGUGGUCAGCGCUAGGCAGAGAACUUCUAGUUUGGAUCGUUACUUAACUUUACAACAACUAGAAUUUAGAUUGCAUUUCUUGUGUAUUACUUCCCACCAAGCUCCACAUAAAAACCAUCGUAAUCAGUACUCUCUGUUCUUGUAUUCGCCUCGCCAUCACUUUCAGUUGCCACCACACAUUUGUUUUCCUUGUAAUCUGCAGCAGAGGAAUUCAUAAGAGCUUCGGUGGUUAGAGAGGUGAGUUGUGAGAGCCACCAAAUUUUCAUAUUCCACAAAUACAAAUUAUUUGUAUUCAGCUAACCUUACAGGAAGAUGGGUCAAGUGGACAUCAAAGAUCGUGUUUCCAUAGCACAAUUUAAUAAACUCCGACAAAGCAUAGAAGAAAAGCAAGAUAGGUUGACACAAGAUCUUCAGAAUCUUAUGACUGAAAUCAAAAGGCAUCGUCCACCUCAUGAUGGUGCAAGCAACCAUAGUGGAGAUAGAGAAGAUAGUGAUGGAAGAAGAGGAGGUCGGAGGAACCGGAGGGCUGCACAUGGUAAAGGAAGAAGACAUAGUCGAAGAAAUGAUGAUGAAUCUGAAGCUGAGGCUGAUGACAACCGCUUCCAACUCAGUUUUGGUCGCUGAUGUCAUAGAAGAGGCAACCAUGAAGAAAAUUUUGGCAAACUGAAAUUUACCAUGCCAAAAAUUGCUGCUGAACCAUCCCCGAGGAAUUUCUCUGGAGGAAGCAAAUCACACACAAAAUUUGCUGCUGAACCGUCCAUGGUGAAAAGCUCAAGUGGAGGCUCCCGAUCUAAUUUUUAUGGUACUUUUAGUGGAAAGAACACUGCUGUCCAUGGUGAAACAUUCUUUGUAGCCUAAAGGGUAGUAGCAAUAGAUUUAGUUAGUCAGAUGCACGCUUUCUCCCAGUGGUAAAAAUAUAAAUACGAUACUCUGGAUAACCUCCUGGGUGAAGUGCUCACCGAUAUCCGUGCGCUUGCGGAUCAUUUCCUGAUGGCGUUAACAAAUAUCAACAAGCAUUUCUGGCGCCGUUGCCGGGGAGAAAGACGGUUUGCUGAGAUAACUUUAAGUCUUGUUAUUAUCUUGUAUUAUACUUUUAUACUUUUAUUCUUUUAUCUUUUUAUUUUUUCCAUCUUUAUGGAUAACUUAAAUUCCACAACUAUUAUUGAAUUCUUUGCACCUUCGGAGACCAGCCAUAGACCAUGGGAGUCAACAAGUCCUGCCCCUAAUUAUGAUCUGUGUCCUGAGUUGAUUGCAAUAGGUCAAAACCAACCCUUUUCUAUAGCCGAGGUCCUAUCUUUUAAUCAAGAAGAUAAUGAACUUUUAGCUACACCUAGGGAAUCUUUUAAUCUUUUUAUAAAUUCUGGUUUAAACCUAGCCCUACAAGACCAUGUUUUUCCUCGAUAUUUUCACAUUGGUCUUAAUCAUAUAACCUUUGGUAGAGUUUUUCUUUCUUUAUCUAUUAGUAAAGGAAGGUAUGUCUUCAUUCAUGGACAUCCUUCUUGCACUAGUCUUCACAAAAAAUUCCUAGAGAUAGAGAAGGAAUCAUCUCCCAUACAAGGAAAGGAAGUUUCAAUAGCCGAUUUCCAAACAUUUCAAUCCCAUGAUUCAGCUAUCCAUCCCAUCCUUGAGCUUAAUAAUUUCUACUAUGCUCUUUCUCUUGAACCUCCCGAUAAUCCUAUGAAUCUCUCUAGACAUCCCAUGCAUAAGAGUCACCAAGAACACAAGAAGGAUCGAGAAGAGCAACAUCAAUGGCUAGAGGGCAUUAAAAAUCCAUGUGCUAUCACCAUUGAAUGGAUGGAUAAAACAAACUUGAGAGACAAUUCUAGAGGAAUUUUAAGCAUUCGUGAAAAAUCAUCCUUGGAGUUUGAGAAUAAGAGAAACAAUAGUGAGCAUGGAAGUUAUUUCAUGAACACCUCACCAAGUCCUUGCUCAUAUAAAACAUCUCCCCAAUCAACUGGUCUCUCCAACCUUACCACAUUUGAGAUCUCCAACCCCCUCUUCCUUUUUAUUUAUAAAAACUUUAAAAGGGUGGUUGUCGAUAUAUAUGUCUAUAAUAAAUAUUGCAGAUCUCGUUGAGUUGAUCUUGAUAUAGGUCAGCGUUGGAGGGGAAACCACUUCACCGGCAUAAAUUGAUGGUUUCCCAGGGACAAGCUUAGUGUCCUAAAACAAGCACUUAUCAGAUCGUAACAUGAAUUUCUAAUUACUUGCAACAUUACCUAGUGUGUUGAGCAUAUAAAGAUAAUUGUAGAAAUAUUCCUUCGGGUAUUCUUGUCACUAACCUUUCCAGGAUUGGAACAAGAAGAUCGGAUGAAUGACAAGCACAAGUUAUGUCUAACCAAUCGUCAUGCAACAUUGAAUUAAAUUCAUCUAAACUUGAAUUUUGCAAAAUUCAAGCUUGGGGGAGUAUUUUACAUAAAAACAUCCUUUGCCAUGUUGCUAUGUUGGUUGUCCCUACCUUUGAGACAUGCUCAAUUUGUUAAAUACUAAUCACGCUACUUCAUCUCCACUUCAGUAGAUCUCUAUAAAUGCUCUCAUGCUACCUUUAUUUGCUUUAGUAUAUGUCUAGGUUUGGAGUAGUUUCAUUUAUCUCUUAAUUCAGCAUGGUGCUUAGUUUAGGAAUGAUGAUCUUACUUCCAAGGGAUUUUGAAUUAAGCAUGGUGCUUAGGUUAAAAUGCCUUUCUAAAUCAAAUUAGACAUGGUGUCUAGGUUGAUUUUUGUGACGAUAGUAUGCUAUAGUAGAUAUUGGAUAUUUUGUUAAGGAAGGCAUAGCUCACAAGAGAUGAUCCAUGGAGGGUGCCACAAACACGAUGCACAACCGCUAAGAAAGGAAAGCUUCCACAAGGUGAUACUGUAUCAUCACUCUUCAAGUAAGGUAACAUCUUAAGGUACUUGACUAUCUCUUUUAUAAGCUUAUCCUUGAUUCUGGCGUUCACAUAAAACAAAGAAACAGACAUGUAUGAUUUAUAACUCCAAAUUAACCAACCCAACUGAUUCAGCAUGGUUAGUCCUUUAAUCUUUGUUCCUAGUACUACCUCCAUGAUCCUACACUCCUAAUCAUAUAAGCUAAAAUAUUGCACAUUCAAUCUUUGGAAGAUAAAAAAAAUAAACAAAACAUAAAAUAUAGAUAGAUUAUCUUUCCAUUAGGUUAAGCCAUCUGAUCUGACAAAUGUUUUAAAUGCUACACUCAUGAUCUUAUUAUCCAUCAACUUUGUCUUGCUCACUAUGCUUAAGGUUAGAGAAGAACAAAUACACUUUUGGUUCUGUUGGUGUUUUUCACCAACAGGGCCCAUGCACUUGAUCCCUGCCUUGUCUCUAUGAGUAGGUACACUUCGAGCAAAACCUGAAGGAGUUUUACAACUCCCAGACUCCACCAAGUGAAGGGCUUGGAUCUACGAGCACAAACACACAAGAGAUACUAGACACUCAGGCAAUCACUGCCCUGAGAUGCUUGAGGACGUAAACUAUAUCAACAACAACAACUACUACAACCGUCCUCAACAAAAUCAAGGUUGGAAUCAACACUGGCCUAACUACUCAGAGAGGCGAUCCAGGACGCCCCGUCAUCCCGAUCUCCAUCGGCAUGAUGGACUUCCCAGAACCACUCUGCAACUUUGGCUCCAACGUCAACAUUAUGCCCAGGGUUGCAGAUCGGACACUAAAGUUUCCCAAAGGGAAUAUUGAAGAACCUCUGCGUCCGAGUUGGUACCUUGUAUGCCCCAGUGCUACCAAGAUUAGUCUCUACAUCAAGGGGAGGAAGGACGUUUUCCUUCAAGAACAAGACUACACAAAUCUCAGAGCAAUCCCGACAUGAACCAAGGAAGAGGACCAACAGGAGGAACAGGAACAAGCAAAUUCAGACCGAGUCAGCUAAGAUGGUCACUACAGUUCAAGGAGGUCAAGAUCGUCGACUUAAGUCACCGUUUCUGACCAAAAAGGAUGACCCAGCUCCAGAUGGCAGAUCAGACAUUCCAAAAGGUUGAAGGUUAUUGACAUGGGAGAAGACGAGUAUGAUACACCCAUCAUCCUGGAGAGACCGUUCCUCGGCACCGUUAAAGCAAUCAUCUACAUUGGAACCGGAGAGGCCCACAUGCACUUCCCCUCUCAGAAGGUACGCCGCUAUUUUACUGACCUUAACUAUAUAGUUGAAGACUCUAAGCAGGUCAGGACAAGAAGAAGACGACGCAACCGCAACCAGAUGAGGCAAAUCAUCAAGGACGGAUAGGCAGACUACGAAGGAGAAGUGAUAAGGUCUGAAGACAUACAGCUUGAACAGAACUAUCCUGAGGAGACUGUAGCACCGAGUUAGGAAGAGAAGAUAGUUAUACACGAAGAAGAGGCGCCGCCGGAACCACCGACUACGCCAUCCAAUGAAUCUCAUGACGACUAAGAAAAUGGAGAGUUCCAUUCGGAGGACUUAAAAACACCGAAUGUCUUGCCAAAAGGUAAACUUGGUAGUUAUCCUUUUCCUUUCAAUUAUUCAAUUAUAGUUCGCUUAGUUAAUCACGUUCAUGCUAUCUUGAAAAGAAAAUAAAAAUGUUAAAAAUAGUAAGCCCCAUGUGAGUAUGCUCAUGGCAUAAAACCCAUAAGUACAUUCACUGUGCUCACAUAAAAAUAUUCUUGUCCUGUAAAAAUGAGAAUAUAAAAAUAAAUUUAUGAUCCUACCAAAGAGAGUAAUAUUUAUUAGAGGAAGCUCAAUAUGAUAAAGGCAAAGAGAUUUUAUGCUAACACUUAACCAGUUCCACAAAGCUUUGUUGUCAAUUUGAGCUCCACAGAAUUCAAGGAUCAAAGAAGACUAGCAGACGGAGGACAUCCUAAUCGCUGUCAGGGUGCUGCCGACAUUCAAAUACACCUCUGUCACCUGCUAGCUACAUCAGAAGAAAUUACGUCAAAAUCCAGCUUGGGGGAGAGCACCCCCAUUUAUCCAGCUAAGUAUUUCUACUCACGUUUAUACUUUACUCAAAUAAUAAAAAGAUGCAUAAUCAUGAAAACCUAAAUAAAAAUUCCAUGCUUAUAUUUUUGCUUAGUUUGCUAAAUAAAUAAAUAAAUAAAGUUUGAUAUGAACCCUCAUGAUAAGCUCUCACAUGGAAAUGAUAAAUAGUUGCUCUGCUAUGUACCUAGUUUUCAAGCUUGAGCUCUCUCUCAAGUUUAGGCAUAACUGUUAUAAUUUAAACCUGCUCUAAACCUGAACUUGUGGGAAGAGUACUUGAUCUGAAGUCUAAGUUGUUAACGGAUAUGAUAUGGGAAGGUUAAGCUGUUGUUUAUCUGUUCCUAGAGAUGCUAGAAUUCUGGAGAAUUUUAUCUUUGAAAAUCUUUAAAAUAACACAUGAUGAGUUCCUGUAUGAUGAGAGUUUAAAAUCCUGCCACAACCAUAUAUACAUGCUUAUUAGGCUAUGAACCAUACAUUUACUUUUUACUACUUAUGAGCAUUGAGUGUGGUCAAGCUGUGUAGACCCUUAGGAGCUUGUCAUGCGGGUAAAAUCAAGAUCCACUUGCACGUUCACUCACACAUGCUGCUUCUACUCCGGAAGUACGCAUCCACAUAUAUCCACUCAUUUCCAUCUCUAGAUUCACCCAAAAUUAUUCUACUCCUAAUCCGAGAGAGAAUAGCCAAAAACAUUUCCCUAUUUCUGUUUUUCCCUAUGAAAUAAAUGCUCAAGAUAUUUUGGUUACUACCACUUGCUACAUUAUUCCAGGAGGGUGAGUGCUCUGACAAAAAAGAGAAAAAAAGUUAAUACGAGGAAAUAAAAAGGGGCAAGUGCCCGAAACCUCGAAGAAAAGAAAAAGUGUGACGAGAGGUAAAAAUGGACAAGUGUCCGAUAGUAGAAUUAGGGGUACAAGAUACCCACCUGAGAGAAAAAGAAAAAGAAAAAUAUAGAGCAUCUCAUUCUCCUCAAAAAGCUUCAAAGUGCAAGAAAGGUAUGUAUCCCCUAAAAAAAGCAAAAGUAGAAUUAGACUUUCACCAUUGUUAUCACCAUCAUCAGCAUACAGCAUUCACUCGCCACAUAUGCAUAUCUUGAUUUGACUUAUUGACUUGUUCUUCUGGAUCCAUGGUUUGACUAUACAAUAAAUGUCUUGUAAGUAUGUAUUAUCUGUCUCCCACCUAUGGGCUCCAAAUAUCAAAACCUUAUUAGAGUAGGGUGAGAGAGAAGGCAAUAUCACUAUGCCUCAUACCAAAAAAUACCACACACUUUGAGAGAUGGCAUAUACCAUUACUGCCUUGGAAAGGAUCCAGAAAUACCACAAAAGAGAGAUUUGAGAGAGUCAUACAAGGAGUCUCUUAGUUUUAAUUGAAAAUCUGCAAAAACUCCAGAGCUAUAGCUGAUCAAGAAUAAGAGACAUGGCGCUUGACAUGACCGUUCUAUUUUUUAACUGCUCAAGACACAAGUGAUGUUUGCAAGCCCCAUGGUGAAAGGUAAAAUGAGUAAGUUUUAAGUCUUAACAGUUUACUCUAACUCAGAGAUGAGAUCUUGCUUGAAUGCAUGUGUACUUUUACGACAUGAAACCACUGCAGAAACUCUUGAGUCCAUCCUUGCUCAGGGACGAGCAAGACGUAAGCUUGGGGGAGUUGUUGACGGUCCUUAAGUACCAAAUAUAAUCAUCAAAUAAAAAAAAGAAAAGUAUCCAAAUGCAACCAACACCCAGACUUAGGGUUUUAUCUGACAGAAUUUCAUGAGUUUUUAUGUUUGUCUAUUUCUGUAGGGGGUUAUCAGGAAAUAUGGAAGAAAGGCCCACACGUCGGGUUUACAUAGAGAUAUUAACGUGCCGCGUAAUUUUCUACCAUCUGGAAGACUCUAGAAGCCAUGGGAAUGAACGGGAAGGUGAUCGGGUCCGGGGGCAGGGCGCCCGCCCUCCCCCUAGGGCGCCCGCCCUAAGGUAGAGUCCAAACAGGACCCGUCUCGCGGAUUACGCUCCACCGACCUAAAGGAUCAAGGAUAACCGUUCAAUCAAUGUUGGUUUUAUCCGACGGCCCACGUUCACCUGAGGGGACUAUAUAAGCAGACCCCCUGGCCCCUGGAGGAGAACAAGUUCAUCAUAGAGUUGCGAGGAGCCCUCGAAGGAUAACCUCUCCUCUAAAUAGACUUAGGGCUUAGCAUCCAAUGUGAGAGUAGAAUUAGUUCUUCUAAGUUCUACUAGAUUGAGAGAGAUAGAGUGGAGGUGUAGAUCGGAGGAAGCCCGGCCUGUCGGUGUCUACUCUGAGGUUGUACCUGCGGGAUCAAGUUCUCCUAACCCGAGGCUUGCUCCUAGGAUUCUUCAGUAAUUCGACUUCUAAAUUCUAGUAAGUUCUUGUUUUAUUGUUCUUUGGUUUAUGAGUUUACUUUAAUCUCUUCCGGUUGAGUUUAGAGUAAUCAUUGCUAGCGUAAACGUGGUGUUUGGGCUAGGGUACUCAUAGAUAUCCCCUGACUAGCUAGAUCGUGGUAGUAGCGAGGAACGUGACAUUUCCGAGUUACCUUUGCAGCCCACAUCUUGUUAGCAGGAUGGGUAGGGUUUAUAGGUGCGGGUCGAACAUUCUUUGUGGUGUCUAGAUUCCGUGAGCCUCCCCAAUAGAACAGUAGAUCAUCCUUACCAAGGUUUGAACGAGACUACGGUUGUAGUCUUCUCUAUACAUCGCUCACAUCGAGAAACAUUCUUUGUAGCCUAAAGGGUAGUAGCAAUAGAUUUGGUUAGUCAGAUGCACGCUUUCUCCUAGUGGUAAAAAUAUAAAUACGAUACUCUGGAUAACCUCCCGGGUGAAGUGCUCACCGAUAUCCGUGCACUUGCGGAUCAUUUCCUGAUGGCGUUAACAAAUAUCAACAUAUAGUAACUGAUGUCCCUGUCAAAAUAGACGAUCAUUUUGUCCAUACAGAUUUUCAGGUUAUUGACAUGGGAGAAGACGAGUACGAUCCACCCAUCAUCCUUGGGAGACCGUUCCUCAGCACCGUUAAAGCGAUCAUCUACAUUGGAACCGGAGAGGUCCAUAUGCACUUCCCCUCUGAGAAGGUACGCCGCUAUUUUACUGACCCUAAUUAUAUAGUUGAAAACUUUAAGCAGGUCAGGACAAGAAGAAGACGACGCAACCGCAACCAGAGGAGGCAAAUCAUCAACGACGGAUGGGCAGACUACGAAGGAGAAGUAGUAAGGUCUAAAAACAUACAGCUUGAACAGAACUAUCCUAAGGAGACCAUGGCACCGAGUCAGGUGUGGAGAGAGAAGAUAGUUAUACGCGAAGAGGAGGCGCCGCCGGAACCACCGACUACGCCAUCUAGCAAAUCCCAGGUCGAUUGAGAAAACAAAGAGUCCCGUUCGGAGGACUUAAAAACACCGAACGCCUUGCCAAGAGGUAAACUUGGUAGUUAUCCCUUUGCUUUCAAAUCAUUUACUUUUUCUUAAAAAUAGCUAGUUCAAGUUAAUCAGGUUCAUAUCAUCUUAAAAAGAAAAAUAAAAAUGUUAAAACCAGUAAAGCCCUAUGUGAGUAUACAAGUGGCAUAAAACCCAUAAGUACAUUCAGUGUGGUGGCAUAAAAAAAUAAUAAUAAAAAUAUUGUUCUGCUCUAUAAAAAUAUAAAACAUAAAAUUGUGAUCCUACUAAAUAAAGUAGCAUUUAUUGAGGAGGCUCAACAUGAUAAAGGCUAGAUAUUUAUGCUAACACUUAAUCAGUUCCAGAAAGCUUUGUUGUCUAUUUGAGCUCCACAGAAUUUAAGGAUCAAGAAGACUAGUAGACGGAGGACAUUCUAAUCGCUGUCAGAGUACUGCCGACAUUCAAAUACACCUCUGCCACCUGCUAGCUACAUCAGAAGAAAUUACAUCAAAAUUCAACUUGGGGGAGAGCACCCCCAGCUAUUCCGCUAAGUAUUUCUAUCUUCAUUUAUACUUAUACUAUAUUAAAAUAAAAAAUAUAUAACCAUGAAAAAACCAAAUAAAGAUUUUGUGCUUAUAUAUAUAUAUCGGUUGCUUAGUGUGCUUAAUAAAUAAAUGAAGUGGCUAUGCUAAACUGAAUCUUAAUAAAACUCUAGCAUGGAUACUAUGAAUAGUUGCUCUACCUAAUUUUCAAAUUUGGAGUUCUCUCUCUAGUUUAGACAUAAUUAUUAUAAUUUAAAGCUUGCUCUAAACCUGAACUUGUGGGAAGAGAACUUGAUCUAAAGUCUAAGUUGUUAACGGAUAUGAUAUGGGAGGGUUGAGCUGUUGUUUAUCUAUUCCUAGAGAUGCUAGAAUUUUGGAGAAUUUUAUCUUUUUAAAAUAUCACAUGAUGAGUUCCUGAAUGAUGAGAGUUUAAAUUCCUACCACAGCCAUAUAUACAUGCUUGCUAGACUUUGAGCCACACAUUUACUUUUUACUGCUUAUGAGCAUUGAGUGUGGUCAAGCUGUGUAGACCCUUAUGAGCUUGUCAUGCAGUUAAAAUCAAGAUUCACUUGCACGUUCACUCACACAUGCAGCUUCUACUCCGAAAGUACGCAUCCACAUAUAUCCACUCAUUUCCAUCUCCAGAACCACCCAAAAGUAUUCUACUCCUAAUCCGGGAGAGAAUAGCCAAAAACAUUCUCCUAUUUCUGUUUUUCCUGUGAAUUAAAUGCUCGAGUUAUCUUGGUUACUACCACUUGCUAUAUUAUUUCAGGAGAUGACUGCUCUAAAAAAAGAAAAAGGAUACGAGGAAAUAGAAAGGGGCAUGUGCUCGGAACCUCAAAAAAAGUGAGACGAGAGGUAAAAAUGGACAAGUUUCCGACAGUAGAAUUAGGGGUACAAGAUACCCACCUCAGAGGAAAGAAAAAGAAAAUAUAGAGCAUCUCAUUCUCCUCAAAAAGUUUCAAAAGAGCAAGAACGGUAUGUAUUCCCUCAAAAGAGCAAAAAGUAGAAUUAGACUUUCACCAUUGUUAUCACCAUCAUCACCAUACACCAUUCAUUCCCCACACAUGCACAUCUUGAUUUGACUUAUUAACCUCUUUCUCUGGAUCCAUGGCUUGACUAUGCAAUAAAUGUCUUGUAAGUAUGUAUACUUCAUCUCCCACCUAUGAGCUCCAGAUAUCAAAAGGCUUAUUAAAGUAGGGUGGAGAGAGAAGGCAAGUUUACUAUGCUUUGAGAGAAGGCAUAUACCAUCGCUGCCUUGGUAAGGAUCCAGAAAUACCACAAAAGAGAGAUCUGAGAGAGUCAUACAAGGAAUCUCUGAGUUUUAUUUGAAAAUCUACAAAAAAACUCCAGAGCUAUAGCUCAUCAAGAAUAAGAGACAUGGCGCUUGACUAGACGGUUCUAUCUUUUAAAUACUCAAGACAUAAGUGAUGGUUACAAGUCCCAUGGUGAAAGGUAAAAUGAGUAAGUUUUAAGUCUUGACAAUUUACUCUAACUCAGAGAUGAGAUCUCAUUUGAAAGCAUGUGUACCGUCAACUUUUAAAGUCAUUACAAUAGCUUCUGAUCCAUCACUGAGUCGAUCCUUGCUCAGGGACGAGCAAGAGGUAAGCUUAGAGGGAGUUGUUGACGGUCCUUAAAUACCAAAUAUAAUUAGCAAAUAAAUAGAGAAAAGGAUCCAAAUGUAACCAACACACAGACUUAGGGUUUUAUCUGACAGAAUUCCACGAGUUUUGGUGUUUGUCUAUUUCUACAGGGGGUUAUCAGGAAAUAUGGAGGAAAGGCCCACACGUCGGGUUUACAUAGAGAUAUUAACAUGCACUGCAAUUAUCCAACAUCUACAAGAGUCCAGAAUCCACGGGAACGAGCGGGAGGCCAAGCGGGCCCGGGGGCAGGGCGCCCGCCCUCCCCCUUUAUGCGCUCACCCUGGCCUGAGAGCCAAUCAGGCUCCGCCUCACGGAUCAUGCUCCACCGACCUAAGAGAUUAAGGAAAACCGUGUGAUUAAGGUCGGUUUGAUCCGACGGUCCAUAUUCAUUUGGAGAGACUAUAUAAGCAGGCCCCCUAGACCCUAGAGAGGAGGACUUGAGAAGCCCUAAUUCAUUCAUUCAUCUCGGGAGAAGAAGUCUCUGAUCAAGCCCUAGAGCCACCACAUCAACUAGAUCUCUAGUUUAGCAUAGCUACAUAGGAUUAGAACUAGAAGGAGUCAAUCUUCGAUUGGUUUCCGGAUCUGUCAAGAGGAUUCUUGGUAAUUCCUCUACUAUUCUUCAUUUGUUCAUCAUUGUUCUUCAAUAUUAUGAAUAUGACUUUGUUCUACUUCAAUAUAUUGAUUAUGACUUUGUUCUACUUGUUUAUAUUCGCAAUUAAAUUGUUCUUAGUUUGUCAUAGUUAUAUGCUUGGCUUAGUUAGAUUGGAUUUAUAUACAUGUUUAGGAUUGUAUAGCGUUUAUCCAUGUGUACAAUGGGUAAAUGAUAAGUAUUGUGUAGGCGUGGUGCAUAUAUCGUAUUUAUCUGCGAUUGUAUCCUAUAUGCUGGAUCAUGGGGUAGUUCGUGGUGGUGACAGCUCCAUGAUUCUUAUAUAGUCCCCCUCUCGUGUAUAGGGUAGGCAGAACAACAUUAUUACAGAGGAGUGAUUGCUAUGUUUCUCAUUUUCCUUGAUAAUAUCACUCUCGCAAUGAUUGCCAAGUAUAAUUGCACUAACUAUGAUAUGCUACACUUUAUAGUUAAGAAUAACUUAGGAAAUAUUCUUGUAGUUCAUCCUAAUUCCAUGCUAAUGACUUGCUGAAUAUCUGUUGAGGUGCUUAUCGUUAUUAUAUGUGGCUAGUAUGCUGAUCAGAUUAAUUAUCUUUGUCACCAUUCAAACUUUAUCUAUAUUUUAUGUGACAUUUAUCCCUGUAUGAAAGAGAUAGAUAAAUGCUCUCUAUUAUACAUGCAGUGAUAGAUACUCAAUUCCAUAUUUCAUUCCAUAAUCAACAUUGAUAAUUAGCAAUCCCUUUCGAGUGGUAAAAAUAUAAAUAACGAUACCUGAAAUACUUCCCGGUUAAAAUGCUACAUCGGUAUUAAUAUGUGCGCUUGCAGAUCUCAUUUAUUAUUCAUUCAGAAGAGCAAUUGCAUAUUUCAAUACCGCGUCUCUCAUGUCAUGCUGGGGAUGACAACUUGGCUUAAGUGGCAUGAGGGAUAGGUUCGGCAUUUUUGGCACCUUUAUCAGAAUUAGAAAACUAAGUCUACUUUUGGUAAUGACGUUAAGAAUGCCCAACACCUUCCCCGGCAACGGCGCCAAAAAUGCUUGUUGAUAUUUACUACCAUCAUUACUAAAAAUAGAGAUAAACCCUACCUCUAGCAACAACACCAGAAAUGCUCAGUAUAUAACUAACUUGUCAUUAAGCAACUAGCCACUUCUUAAUUACUAACUUUCCUAAACAUGAAGUAGGUUGUCAUCCCUAAUUAUAUUGCUAGGAAAUUAUUAUAGAUUCACAUGUACUAAUGUGACUAGGCAGAAAUAAAAGAUAUGAAUAUAAUUAUCAACUAAAUGGGUUCUGCAAGCGGACAUAUAAUUAUACUGUUGUAGCAUUUUACCUAGGGAGAUCAUCUAGGUUGUCGAUUUAUAUUUAUACCACUGGGUAGGCUACGUGUUGAACUAUAAUCUAUUUUAUUGAUAAGAAACUAUAUAGGAUGAAUAAAUGAUAUUACCAAUGUCAUAUAAUCUACUCAUAACAGGCAGAGGUCACAAGAUAAAUAUGGAUAAAUAUGGGUGAUAGCAUAAUCAUCAAGUAUCAUAAUUAAGGAUAAUCAUGAGAGCAUCUACUAGUCAUAAUCAUAGUUAGCCAUUGGAUAAACUAGGGUGUUAGAUCUAAGGAAAUUCUAUAACCACAUCAAGGAAUGACUUUAGUUAGUGCUUAUCAUAGUUAACUUAACCCUAUAUCAUAAUCAUAUGUAAAGAGGCAUCAACCAAUGAGGGUAUUAAGACACAAGGGUCACCUCCUUCGUGACCGUGCCCAUGCUUGUCCUACGUAUGGAGGAUGGACUAUAGAGGAACCAACAUAGCUAUCACCUAUGCAGACUACCAAACGUCCCUGCACUUUAGGGUGCACUCACAGAUAAACAAGAUAUCUAGACACCACGUCUACAUAUUGUCUACCAUCUACCCAACGAUCGAUUAGGUAAACGCUAUACGAGCAAUUACAUGAAUUCAAUAAGAUCAAACCAACUAUCCUAGACAUAUAAUCAAAGUAGACAAUGACUAUUGCAAUUAAGAACAUAUGAAUCUAUUAAGAAUAAAGUCUCCCUAAUAUAUAAUGAAUACAAUAAAGUAAGAACUAGAUCUAUUACCGAACUCUUAUCCUUUAGACCGACGCUAUGGGCUCCAGAUCCCGAUGAAGAACUAGAUCUCCUCUACUUCUAAUCUAACUAACUAGAACUAUGAACUAGAAUGCUCUUGAUGAACUUGAAGGCUCUUGAUGCUUGAUGGCUUGAGGCCUUGAUGAAUGAAGUUGUCUCCUCUAGUGGGGUCUACCCAUGUAUUUAUAGUAUGGUGGGAUGCGCGUACACCGUAGGAUCAAACCAACUUAACCAAGGGCCGAGAUGACUCCUCGUAGGUGGUGGAGGAAGCUUCCAGAAGGGGUAGGCAAACCCUAGCAAUAGGGGCCCGGUCGGUGCAGGGAUGGGGCCGACCGGCCCCACCCGGCAUGGUCUUGGCCCCUAGUUGCUUCUGGUGUCUUCUGGAUCCUUCCCACGUCCCGUUCGUGAUCUUUUCAUGGCGGAUAAGUUUCGUGUUUAUUUUGCACUUGAAGCCCUCUUUUUAGCUUUUCUAGAAAUAGACCCUAGAAAAUACAGAAUAUGCAUGUUGAUGGUCCUUAAUGCUCACAUUUAACCGUCAACUAAUCAUGGAAAAGGAUCCAAAUGCAACCAACACCCAGACUUAGGGUUUUAUCUGACAGAAUUCCAUGAGUUUUGGUGUUUGUCUAUUUCUGCAGGGGGUUAUCAGGAAAUACGGAGGAAAGGCCCACACGUCGGGUUUACAUAGAGAUAUUAACGUGCCGCGCAAUUUUCUAUCAUCUAGAAGACUCUAGAAGCCACGGGAACGAAUGGGAAGCCGAGAGGGCUCAGGGACAGGGCGCCCGCCCUACUCUCCUGGGCGCCCGCCCACUUCCAGAGUCCAAUCAGGACACGUUUCGGGGAUUAUGCUCCACCGACCUAAUGGAUCAAGGAAAACCAUGCGAUUAAUGUCGGUUUGAUCCGACGGCCCAGAUUCAUCUGAAAAGACUAUAUAAGCAAGGCCCCCUGGCCCCUGGAGAUCAUACCUCUUCUACAGAACCAAAGUUAGGGUUUCAAUUCUUCAUCCAAGUAGAGAGGAUCCCUCUAGUUCUUCUACUUCUACCUCUAGUUCAUCUAGUUCUAGUUCUAGUUCGUCUAGUUCUAGUUCUAGUUCCUCUAGUUCUAGUUCUAGUUAGUUCUAGUUGUAAUCUAGAAAAUAGGGAGAGAGAAGAGGAGAGCGGAGGAGGAGCCGGAUCUGUCGGAUCUUCCUUAACAUUGUACUUUUGCAGCAACUGGUUCGUUCUUCAUCGUUCUCCAGGUUCUUCAAUUCAUAAUCCGAGUUCUUUAAUUACUUUUAUUUACAUUCAAGUUAUUUACUGGAUUCCCGCUUGCAUCAUGUGCUCUAAUCUUUGCAACAUUAGAGUAGUAAUUAAUAGAUUAGAUGUGGUGUUUAGUCUUGCAAUUACUUGGAAUUGCACCCAAUCCUGCGGAUUGUUGUGGUAGCCCUAGGGUAGUGACAGCCCUAAUGGUCGACGUAUUCCACCUCGUUCGGAUCGGUGUUUGUAGGACCGUAGUCAGACCUUCCUAGCCCCCUUCUCCUCUCUUUCUGUGGUUAGUGCUCUGAUGUCCCGAUAUAAAUAAUCUUUGAAGUAAUUCUUGAUUCUUAGAUCAACUAGAGAACUCUCAGGAAACUUCCUCUCUUCCCACCAAAAAUAAUUAUAUAGUUAUCCUUGGGCGAUCUUGAAUCUUAAUUAGUACACUCACGUUCCCUGUAGAAAAUCGAUACUCUGGAAUACUCCCGGGUGAAGGCUACAUCGGUAUCCGUGCGCUUGCGGAUUUUUCUGUUUGCGUUUAAAAUACCCAACAAUGCAUAACUCAUGGAAAUUGUCAGUUUAAACACUAGAUGAGUGUGUUUUCAUGUUCUCCUUUGGGUCUAAAGCUCUAAUAAAAGUUGACAUUAUCGACGUCAACAAUUACUCCUACUAUGCCCUUUGAUUUUUGGAAUCCCUUAUCAUCUUGAUCUUCUUCUUCUUUCUUCUGGUCGACUUCUUUAUUGUCUCCCUUCUUUCUUGUAUAUCUGUCAAUGAAGAUGCGACUAUCUCCAGUCAUAUGAUUCCCAUGUGGGUGCCAUAUGCAGUGCAUAUUCUUGAAGUCAUCAAUCUUCUUGGUCUUAGAAAAUGGCUUAUUUGCUUUGUCCACCAUGGCCACUAUGUUGUUGGGUCUCUGCUUCUUGCCCUAUUGUCUGUUGCCAUGGUGGUUCUGUCUGUUGAAGUUGUCUUGGUUGUUUUGAUCUGAGAACCUUUCUCGAGUCUUUUCCUCUACAGCAAUCAUCCUUUGCACCGUGUACUUAAAGCCCUCAUUACUCCAUAGGUUCUCUUUGCAAAUUCAUGAAAUUACUAGUUGGUUAGAAUUCCAUAGGAGAAAGCUUUGAUAACCUCUUGCUCAGUGAUGUCAUGUACUUGGGCAUGUAUACUUUCAAUAAUUGGAAGGUUUGAACUUAUAGUGUAGCUAUAUAAAAAGAAGUCGAUUCAUGAAACAAGGGAACUAGUCAGGUAUUCCUACUUCCCUAUACCAGGAUUUAGCUCCUCCUUCUCGCCGACUUGAUGAGAGCAUGAGUAGUUUGGGGGUACCAUGGGCAUAGGUGGUCUGCUUGUGUUUUCCCUUAGUUGCUCAACUAAAUUACAUUGGCUUUGUUCUACCCUACUUCUUAUGUUGCUGCUUUUCAUCAGUCCUAAUCUUUCAAAAGCAGAUCUUCAUUGUUUUGAUUGUUCUAUCUAUACAAACCUAUCCCGACAGGUUGUCCUGAAUGAGACUUCUCGUAUUGCAUUCAUCGAGUGGCUGACCAAAAGAUGUCCUUAAGGUGUUCUUGUUCUUCAUUGGGAUGGGAAAUAGCUUUGAGUUCUUUCACAAGUUCAUGAACCUUUGUAUAAGGAGAAUUGUUUGUCCUUCUAGCUACUCACUUAUUCUUAGCUUCUUGUUCCACCUUCUUUGUUUUGUACUUGGCUAGUUGUUGAUGGUCCUUAAUGCUAACAUUUAACUGUCAACUAAUCAUGGAAAAGGACCUAUAUGCAACCAACAUUCAAAAUUAGGGUUUCAUCUGACAGAAUUCCACAAGUUUUGGUAUUUGUCUAUUUCUGUAGGGGGUUAUCAGGAAAUAUGGAGGAAAGGCCCACACGUCACGUUUACAUAGAGAUAUUAAGGUCUACUACAAUUUUCCGUAAUGAGAUGGACCUAAGAAGCGAUUGGACUGAAGCAGAGGCAGAACGAGGCGUGGCCCAGGGCGCCCGCCCUAGGGACCAGGGCGCCCGCCCUCCUGUGGUGCCUAAUCAGGGUCCACUUCGGGGAUUAUGCCCCACCAACUCUAAGGAUCGAUGAAAAUCAUGCGAUUAAGGUUGGUUUGAUCGGAUGGUGAAGAAUAACGUGAUGCGGAUCGAUGACAAGGAAAUUCCUUGGGGGCUACUCUUCCUAGAUCUCUUGGGGGCUACUCUUCCUAAAUUUCUUGGGGGCUACUCUUCCUAGGCUAUAUAAGGCGCCCCCACCAGCCCCUGGAUGGAUAUCUCUUCUACAGAAUCAAAGCUAGGGUUUCAAUUAUUCAUCCAAGUAGAGAGGAUCCCUCUAGUUCAUCUAGUUCUAGUUCUAGUUCAUCUAGUUCUAGUUCUAGUAAGUUCUAGUUGUAAUCUAGGAAAUAGGGAGAGAGAAGAGGAGAGCGGAGGAGGAGCCGGAUCUGUCGGAUCUUCCUCAACAUUGUACUUUUGCAGCAACUGGUUCGUUCUUCAUCGUUCUCCAAGUUCUUCAAUUCAUAAUUCUUGAGUUCUUUAACUACUUUUAUUUACAUUCAAGUUAUUUAUUGGAUUCCCGCUUGCAUCAAGUGCUCUAGUCUUUGCAACGCUAGAGUAGUAAUUAAUACAUUAGACGUGGUGUUUACUCUUGCAAUUACCUAGAACUGCACCCAAUCCUGCGGAUUGUUGUGGUAACCCUAGGGUAGUGACAGCCCUAACGGUCAACGUAUUCCACCUCGUUUGGAUCGGUGUUUGUAGGACCGUAGUCAGAGCUUUCUAGCCCCCUUCUCAUCUCUUUCUGUGGUUAGUGUUCUGAUGUCCCGAAAUAAAUAAUCUUUGAAAUAAUUCUUGACUCUUAGGUCAACUAGAGAACUCUCAGGAAACUUCCUCUCUUCCCACCAAAAAUAAUUAUAUAGUUAUCCUUGGGCGAUCUUGAAUCUUAAUUAGUACACUCACGUUCCCUGUGGAAAAUCGAUACUCUAGAAUACUCCCGGGUGAAAGCUACAUCGGUAUCCGUGCGGUUGUGGAUUUUUCUGUUUGUGUUUAAAAUACCCAACAAGCUUUCUGGCACCGUUGCUGGGGAACCGUAGCUGUGCUAGUUUCGUACCAAGUCGUCAGUGUAUCCUUUUUCUUUUCCUUUUUUUUACCACACUCACCUUACCAUUUUCACCAUACCACAUGGAUUUCACUCCUAUCUAUAAAUUCUUUGCUCCAAAGGGCGAGUUAUUAGAGCCACCACCAUCAUCACAUCCAAUUCUUACAGAUGGCUACGACCUCGGCCCUGAUCUAAUAGCCAUAAUUCAAGAGCAACCCUUCUCUAGGCAAGUAGAUGAAGAUCCGUACACCCACCUUAGAGAAUUCGAGCAGUUGUGCUCUUGCCGAUCUAUUUUCGGCAUGACACAAGAAACCCUUAAAUGGAAAUUAUUUCCGUUCUCCCUUUUGGGAAGAGCAAAAAAGUGGUAUGCUCAUUCUGUAGGAGGCGUUAAUGGAAAUUGGGAUGAACUUCGGGACAACUUUUGUCUCGCUUUCUUCCCACUUUUUCGAAUCGCUGACCUUAGAAUCAAAAUUCUUACAUUCAAACAAAGAGAGAAGGAAACUUUAGGAGCAGCUUGGGCUAGGUUCACAAGCCUUACCAAUUCCGGUCCAAACCUUUUCCUGCCUGACCAUGUACUGUACUAUCACUUUUAUCGUGGUCUAAACAAGGAAGCUACUCUUCACCUCGACAUUGCUUCAGGAGGCUCAUUCGCACACAAACUCAUAGAUGAGGGGAGAGCUAUCCUAGAGAGAAUCCUUGAAAAUACCCCUUACACAUGCAUUUAUGAUGAGUUUCCUGAAGAAGAAAAAGAAGUCGAGCCUGGUCCUAAACCAAAAGAUGAGGAACUUGCAACCGAGUUAGAAAUUCCACCUGACCCAUCUAUUAAUUUGGUUUUAGAGAAACCUCCUGAUAAGGGAAUGCAAAACCAACUAAGGGAUAAUGAACCCCCACCUUUAGAGCAUCCCUUUGAAUUUGAGGAAGAUCUUUUUGAAGAUUAUGGAAAUGCCUUAAAUUUUCCUAUCCAAACACGACCUCUAGCAGGUACCACUCAAUCCGUUCUAAGAGUAGAAUCUGUUGACAUAGAACACAUCAAAAGCCUUUCAGCUAUUCUAAGUUAUGAAUGGCUAACAGAAGCAUAGCUGUCUCCUGAGGUAGCUCGGAUCAUCACUCCUUCAACCAUUCUUCUGUGCCAAAUUAGAGGGUCCGCUCGGAAGGUCCACUACAAUCCAUAUGUUGGGAUAAAUGUUAUUUCCAAGGAGUUAGCUGACACUCUUUAUCCCAACGAGUCCAUAACCCCAUCUCAAAAACUUUUACAAAGUCCAUCUAGAUUAAUUCUAGAAAGCCAUGGGGUAUUAAGGGCGGUUCCUGUUAGAAUCAAGGACUCUGGAAUAUGUCUAGAUUUUCACAUUUUUGACAUACUGUAAUACCCAAUUUUAAGAACAAAACCAGAUAUGCACCAUAUGUGAGUUUUAGAAGCCAAAUCUCACAUAUAGCUUCAAAUAAGGGGUAAUAUCAAAAGACAAUGCAUAAAUAUAUAACAUACUUAGUAUAAAAGAUAUAACCUUUGAUAGCAAAUAGCGGAUAGACAACUCCAAACUUUGGGUAUUAACUUCUCUCUACGGGAUCCAACUGACUGGUUGAUCACAAGCCUAAACUUCUCCUGAGGUUUGGGGGAAAUAGCAAGAGUGAGUCCAUGUCGAACUCUACAAGUAUAGCAACUAGAUUGUAUAGCUCCCACAAUCUCAUGAUCAAUGUGACAUAAAUAAUGUAAAGCAUUAAACAAUAAGCAAUGAGCAUAUUUAACACACAAGAUUCAUCACCCUUAAUGUAGAUGUCCCCAAGGCCGCUCCUGACCGUGAGCUCGGCUAGUAUACCAGUUUUACACUCUGCAGAGGUUGUACAUCUUUACCCAUGAGUCAUGAUUUACCCUUUCGCCCGAGGUGAUCAGCCUCUUAACCCACUUCCAAGGAAGGUUGGCAGGGAUCACUAUGAAGCCUUUCAAAGGUUUCGUCUAACAAAGUAGGGCCAUUAGAUUCACUCGGCAGGCAGAUAUAGAGCCACACUUCCAUGGCACAUAACCCACAGCCUAUACACACGGACAGAGGCCACACUAUACCCAACGUGUCGAGCCAUUCUUACGCCAUUUAAGGUAACCGCUAACAAGCUAGAAAAAGGUCCUCAUACUGGGCUAAAGCCAGAGCCAUUAUAGCCCUCAUGGUUGCACUGUUAUCCCGGGUGAUCACGUACAGAUAAAUCAUCAAGUUGCUAAAAAGUCAUUUUUAUUAUUUAUUACUUAACAUUAAUCUAGUCACAGGAUCAUGGUCGCAGAAAUAAAAUCCAAAUGCUAUACUUGCCUUAAUCAAAGCUCUCCUGAGCCUGCUACUGGUCGUCAAAAACUUGAUCUUGCUCACCAACGUACGGCUCACCGUCUAAACUCGAUCAUCGAUCACACAAAGAAUCGAAGAAAACAUACACGAAGCAAACAAGGCUACAAUUAGAACAGUACACCAAACAUAUAAAAACAGUAUGAAAAGUUUAUAAAAUGAUUCUACACAUCGCUAUGAUUUCAUAGACGUAAAGAUCACGAAAAUCGGAACUAAAAGAGAGGAGUUAUGAAUGUUCUAAGAUCUUAUAUAGAAAAGUAAUUAAUUAAAUAAUAUCACGAAAAUAAAAAGUUUCAAACUGGGUAAACAAUAUUACUAACAUGUGGAGCUCAUUAAUACGAAUCUAACAAAAUUUGAAUGGAUCAAAACGGAAUUAAAAUGAAUAUUUUAUGGCUAAAACAAUUUCAGUGGCAGUUUUGUAAAUACAAGAAAACGUAUUCUGAGCUAAGCCAUGAUGGUUUACGCUUUCAAAACAGGAAAGCGCAUUUUACGUAUACGCUUUGGACCGCGGGUUCAAAUAGCAAAAACAGGGAGGGCUCUUUAACAAAAAUGCGAAUGAAGGGGUAUGUUUUAUUUUUAGCCAUAGAUCUUGAGAUGAACGGCUUUGGGCGAUCCAGGGGAGCUGGGCGGUGGCCGGCGGCGAUCUCCACAGUGGAGCGCCAUGGCCGGAGGGGGAGGAGCUCGCCGGAGUUCGUCACUUAUGCGAUUUUGGGCAAGAUUUGAGAAACUAAUCGCAUAGGGAGCAAGAGAAGUUCAAGGGGAACAACGGGGUCGGGGAAGGCUCGGUGAAGGGGUUCGACGCGAGGAGGCGAGCGGCGGCCCUCUGCUCGUGUUCGGCGGUGUUUAGGGGGCGAGGGAGACCGAUAGAGAUUACAGGGACGGACUCCGGAGCUUCAAAAUCAUGUUGCGAAGGUCGGCACGUGGUUGCAGACGAGCUUUGAGCACCCAGGAACAAAAACCACGGCGGUGGCUCCAAAUCGGAACUUGACGAGAUCCAAAACGAUGACUCCGGCGUUUAGAGCGGCUCUCGUGCUCGUAGAUGGAAAAGAGAAGACACCGAAGGGUGCUAAAGCACUUAUAGGCGCUCAGUUGGUGCUUUGCCUGCGAAAUCCCUGGAGAUUACAGGAUUUGCUGCCUCCUAGAAGAGUCCUGGGCGGAUUUGGCGCUAGGAAGAAGAUAGGAAGGAGGGAUGAGACGCUGCCGCGAGGGCUCGGGCUGUCGGUGACAGAAAGUGGAGGGGCCCAAUCGCCAUGGAGCAGAGAGGAGGGAGGCGCGCGCGCUGCAAACUGGGCCGGGGCGCGCAGCUUGGGCCGAUUGUGGGAGAGAGGAGGGGGGGAAUGCUGGGCCGAAAGGGGAAAAGGGGAGGUUUUCUUUUCUUUUUUUUAGUUUCCUUUUCCUUUCUUUUAUUCCAAAUCCAUUUUCAAAUCUAUUUUAAAAAUUACUUUGAAAUACUUUUGAACUUUAGUCAAACCACUCAAGUCAACAAAAAUUAAUGUAAAAGCAUGAAUGCACAACAAGUUGCUAAGUUCUAUGAUAAAUUUUAUUUUAAUGAAAAAAUAUUGUUUUUCCUAGGUUUCAUGAGCACAAAAAUUCAUAAAUAAAUCAUUUUAGCUCUAUUUUCCAAGGAAAUAGUUUUUAAGGUGUUACAAAUCUACCCCCCUUAAAAUGAAUCUCGUCCUCGAGAUUCGAAAGAGGCACGAAUUCCGAAAGACAAGCAGGAAAAUAUCUUAAUACUCUUUCAGCUCCACACUUGCAUUCCAACUGCAAACACUUAUGUCUUGGGAUCACAACUUGUGAAUAAAACUUCCAUAAAAUGUCUAUUAUUCGUAAUUGUUCAAGGUCCAUCUUGACUACCAACUUUUUGACUUAUACAACUCGAAGACAUGGUAACUUAGCAUGGAUAUGCCUCCUCAGGUAGGAGUGGACCACUAUGAUACUCGAUUCUUUUCUCUGAUGGUGCGGUUAAGAAAAUUUUCCACUGGGUAGCAUAGAUCACUCCUUUGUGUGCACAUAACCAUCCAUUGCCAAGAACCAAAGACAUAUCGAGUGACUCUAGCAUACUGAGGUUUACAGCAAAGUUUUCCUUGCUUUUGACCAAAUUGAUAUUCGAACAAACCUGAUCCAUGGGACACUACACUCCCUGUCAUUAAGUGACCAACGUCAGUAACUCAGCAAAGAUAGUUGAUCAUAACCAUAGGAUAUCUCCGAAGACAAUUAUCUUCAAGAUAGUUUUAAAAUGCAUCAUCCCAUGAUAUCAAGGUACUACCCCCUUAAGACGAGGUUGAUUGGGGGACACUAGGGACUAGUUCUCCUAUCCUUUUUGUACACUACAGAUCAUAGUCCUUUACUUUUGUCGUACUGAGUGUCUUAAUCCAAGGUUACGUUCCUCACUAAGUUCCAAUUAUCGGUACCUUUAUCAUAGUUAAGUUGCUUCACUCUCGCAUCCCAAUUAUAACUUCAUAAACUUUGGUGUCAUCUAAUCCUCAUAAACAUAACUCUCAAUCCAUGAGUAUCAGCAAUGACAUAUAUCUCCAUUAAUAUUCUCUAAAUUAGAUGAUAUCCUGAAUCAAAACUAAUUUACCAAGCACUUGUGAUCUUCACUUAUGAUCUAACAUUAUCCAAUUUUUCUCUAUGUAACUUCUUUAAUUAGGCUACCCCCCUUAAAAGGGUCAACUAGGGGACACAAGAAAGUUAGCUUGCAUAUUUUCCAGACAAGUUAACUAACAUUGAGAACUUCUGACAUUCCAAAGAACUUAUGUGCAAUGGAGCAAACAGGUAUCCUGAAAUUUCCUCGCGAUAUGAAAAACAUCAGCGUAGUAAAACACAUAUAACUCUUAUUCUGUUAAUCCAAUAGAGUUUUAGCUUAUACCGUUAGAAAGCUUAUGAAUUUCCCUACAACUUUUAUGUAGAAAACCUCCUUAGGUUCUGUAUUUAAGCUUAAGUAAAAUAGCCAAACUUAAAUUCCAUCCUGACAAUGUCUCAGCAAAGAUGCAGUAACUUCCAGAAGUUAUAUCUCGAGCUACUUAACUCAUCUGGAGAUGAUCCAUACAUUUUUGAAAAGCCUAGGAAAUCCACUACAACUUUUGUAUACCACGUUUUCCCAGAUUCUGUCAUUAACUUGGCCGAAAAUAGGAAAUGCUAGAUCUGUCCAGAUUUUGAAACAGAACAGAAACAUCCAAGUGUAAAUGUCAUAUCUCAGGUUCUACUUAUCCAAAUGAGUUCCAGCUUAUACUUUUAGAAAGCUUAGAAAAUUGUAUACAACUUUUAUAUAGAACACCUUUCUAAAUUCUAUAGCUAUAUUUGUCUCAAACAGUAAGCAACCAAAACUGAUCCAGCUUCUUGACAACACAGUUGUAUCAUCUUGUGAUUUUUGUAACUUCCAAACCAUAACAGCUAUGAGGGUGAUUCUUGCGGUCAGAGAAAGAUCUUGAAGUCUAGUUGUUCCCAGAAAAAGUUGAUAGACUUUGCACGAUCAAACUUGAGAUACACCAGAACCAUUGCAGACUGCUCCAGAAAUCAGCAAAGGAUAGAAACGGGAUAUAACCAAACCCAACUACUUAUUUCACUAAUUCUUAUACCUUAGACCUAUAAACUAAUGAAAUUGUGAAGAAACUCACAAGAUCAUUACACUCAUUACAAAGAUCCAAAUCAAGCAUAAGCAUAAUGACAAACCAACUAAGCAUUAAAGGUUCAAACUUCACUCAACUUGCAAUACUAUCGUUCUCUUCAAAGUAAAGGUAAAGAUCCUAAAACUCCUCUUCAAAAGACACAAGAAGAUGAUAAGGGAAGGUUCUAAAAGCAUACCAACUCAAGGAGUGAAGGUGAGAACAAGGACUUUUAAAAUAAGCAACAAGGUAGAGACAAAUAGCAAGGAUAGGGAUAUAGUACGGAUAAAAAUACCAAGGUUUAUAGAGCAAGGAUUUUAUGACAAUUCCAAAACCUUAAGACAACCAUUUUCUAACUAGGCUUGUGUCCUACAGUCAGCAUUGCUCUGAUACCACUUUGUAAUUUCCGAUUUUAAGAACAAAACAAGAUAUGCACCAUAUGUGAUUUUUAGAAGCCACAUCUCACAUAUAGCUACAAAUAAGGGGUUAUAUCAAAAGACAAUGCAUAAAUAUAUAACAUACUUAGUAUAAAAGAUAUAACCUUUGAUAGCAAACAGCGGAUAGACAACUCCAAACUUUGGGUAUUAACUUCUCUCUAUAGGAUCCAACUGACUGGUUGAUCACAAGCCUAAACUUCUCCUGAGGUUUGGGGGAAAUAGCAAGAAUGAGUCCAUGUCGAACUCCACAAGUAUAGCAACUAGAUUGUAUAGCUCCCACAAUCUCAUAAUCAAUGUGACAUAAAUAAUGUAAAGCAUUAAACAAUAAGCAAUGAGCAUAUUUAACAUGCAAGAUUCAUCACCCUUAAUGUAGAUGUCCCCAAGGCCGCUCCUGACCGUGAGCUCGGCUAGUAUACCAGUUUUACACUCUGCAGAGGUUGUACAUCUUUACCCAUGAGUCAUGAUUUACCCUUUCGCCUGAGGUGAUCAGCCUCUUAACCCACUUCCAAGGAAGGUCGGCAGGGAUCACUAUGAAGCCUUUCAAAGGUUUCGUCUAACAAGUUAGGGCCAUAAGAUUCACUCGGCAGACAGAUAUAGAGCCCCCCUUCCAUGGCACAUAACCCACAGCCUAUACACACGGACAGAGGCCACACUAUACCCAACGUGUCUAGCCAUUCUUACGCCAUUUAAGAGGUAACCGCUAGCAAGCUAGAAAAAGGUCCUCAUACUGGGCUAAAGCCAGAGCCAUUAUAGCCCUCAUGGUUGCACUGUUAUCUCGGAUGAUCACGUACAGAUAAAUCAUCAAGUUGCUAAAAAGUCAUUUUUAUUAUUUAUUACUUAACAUUAAUCUUGUCACAGGAUCAUGGUCACAGAAAUAAAAUCCAAAUGCUAUACUUGCCUUAAUCAAAGCUCUCCUGAGCCUGCUGCUGGUCGUCAAAAACUUGAUCUUGCUCACCAACGUACGGCUCACAGUCUAAACUCGAUCAUCGAUCACACAAACAAUCGAAGAAAACAUACACGAAGCAAACAAGGCUACAAUUAGAACAGUACACCAAACAUAUAAAAACAGUAUGAAAAGUUUAUAAAAUGAUUCUACGCAUCGCUACGAUUUCAUAGACGUAAAGAUCACGAAAAUCGGAAUUAAAACGGAGGAGUUAUGAAUUUUCUAAGAUCUUAUAUAGAAAAGUAAUUAAUUAAAUAAUAUCACGAAAAUAAAAAGUUUCAAACUGGGUAAACAAUAUUACUAACAUGUGGAGCUCAUUAAUACAAAUCUAACAAAAUUUGAAUGGAUCAAAACAGAAUUAAAAUGAAUAUUUUAUGGCUAAAACAAUUUCAGUGGCAGUUUUGUAAAUACAAAAAAACGUAUUUUGAGCUAAGCCGUGAUGGUUUACGCUUUCAAAACAGGAAAGCGCAUUUUACGUAUAUGCUUUGGACCGCGGGUUCAAAUAGCGAAAACAGGGAGGGCUCUUUAACAAAAAUGCGAAUGAAGGGGUAUGUUUUAUUUUUAGCCGUAGAUCUUGAGAUGAACGGCUUUGGGCGAUCCAGGGAAGCUGGGCGGUGGCCGGCGGCGAUCUCCACGGUGGAGCGCCAUUGCCGGAGGGGGAGGAGCUCGCCGGAGUUCGUCACUUAUGCGAUUUCGGGAAAUAUUUGAGAAACUAAUCGCACAGGGAGCAAGAGAAGUUCAAGGGGAACUCACCCAGGGGCACAAACAGGGUCGGGGAAGGCUCGGUGAAGGGGUUCGACGCGAGGAGGCGAGCGGCGGCCCUCUGCUCGUGUUCUGCGGUGUUUAGGGGGCGAGGGAGACCAAUAGAGAUUACAAGGACGGACUCCGGAGCUUCAAAAUCACGUUGCGAAGGUCGGCACGUGGUUGCAGACGAGCUUUGAGCACCUAGGAACAAAAACCGCGGCGGUGGCUCCAAAUCGGAACUUGACGACAUCCAGAACGAUGACUCCAGCGUUUAGAGCGGCUCUCGUCUUGUAGAUGGAAAAGAGAAGACACCGAGGGGUGCUAAAGCACUUAUAGGCGCUCAGUUGGUGCUUUGCCUGCGAAAUCCCUGGAGAUUACGGGAUUUGCUGCCUCCUAGAAGAGUCCUGGGCGGAUUUGGCGCUAGGAAGAAGAUAGGAAGGAGGGAUGAGACGCUGCCGCAUGGGCCCGGGCUGUCGGUGACAGAAAGUGGAGGGGCCCAAUCGCCAGGGAGCAGAGAGGAGGGAGGCGCGCGUGCUGCAAACUGGGCCGGGGCGCGCAGCUUGGGCCGAUUGUGGGAGAGAGGAGGGGGGAAAUGCUGGGCCGAAAGGGGAAAAGGGGAGGUUUUCUUUUCUUUUUUAGUUUCCUUUUCCUUUCUUUUAUUCCAAAUCCAUUUUCAAAUCUAUUUUAAAAAUUACUUUGAAAUACUUUUGAACUUUAGUCAAACCACUCAAGUCAACAAAAAUUAAUGCAAAAGCAUGAAUGCACAACAAGUUGGUAAGUCCUAUGAUAAAUUUUAUUUUAAUGAAAAAAAAUUAUUUUUCCUAGGUUUCAUGAGCACAAAAAUUCAUAAAUAAAUCAUUUUAGCUCUAUUUUCCAAGGAAACAGUUUUUAGGGUGUUACACAUACCGGAGAUUCCUCUCUUGAUUGGCAGACCAAUCAUGAAACUUCUACAAGAACAACCACAACGAGGUCAUUUAGACUUCAAGGUUUGGAAUUCCACUAUUGUUGUUCCUCUUGCUAGAUCAAUUAACACGAUAGUGGAACCCAAACUUGAACCAGAUCCUAUUGAGGAGAUCUUAAUGCUAACUCAAGAGGAGAUGGCCCAACCAUUCUUUAAUCAUGAACACUUUGUUCAAGAAUAAGAAGAGUUGGUAGAACCCGUUGAGCUAGACAAAAAUGAACAACCUUCACCUCCUUCGAUAGAGUUAAAACUUCUUCCUUCUGGCCUUAGAUAUGUCUUUUUGCACAACAACCCAAAAACUCCAGUAAUUAUCAGUGACAAGCUUUCCGAUUAUGAAACACAACAACUUGUCACUGUUCUUGAAAGGCAUAGAUCAGCAUUUGGCUACUCUCUCGAAGAUCUCACGGGCAUUAGUCCCAUUCUCUGCACUCAUCGUAUCCCUAUUGAUCCCAAUUUUACACCUUUAAGGGAACCACAAUGGAGACUUAACAAUGCUAUGCGAGAGGUUGUUAAGAAAGAGGUCCUCAAACUCUAUCAUGCUGGGAUUAUUUAUCCUGUGCCACAUAGUGAGUGGGUUAGCCCUGUCCAAGUAGUGCCAAAGAAAGGAGGAAUGACGGUCGUUAGGAAUGAGAAGAAUGAACUCAUCCCUCAACGAAUUGUCACUUGGUGGCGUAUGUGUAUUGACUAUCGAAAACUCAACAAGGCUACAAAGAAAGAUCACUUUCUGUUACCCUUCAUUGAUGAAAUGUUGGAACGGCUUGCAAACCACUCUUUCUUCUGUUUCCUUGAUGGUUAUUCUGGAUAUCACCAAAUCCCAAUCCACCAAGAUGACCAAGAAAAGACUACCUUUACAUGCCCGUAUGGAACUUAUGCAUACCGACGAAUGUCGUUCGGAUUGUGCAAUGCUCCAGCUUGUUUCCAACAGUGCAUGAUGUCUAUUUUCUCAGACAUGAUUGAGAAGAUCAUGGAGGUUUUCAUGGAUGAUUUUACCGUCUAUGGCAAAACCUUCGAUCAUUGUUUGGAGAAUUUAGAUAGAGUCUUGCAGCGAUGUGAAGAAAAGCACUUCAUCCUGAACUGGGAGAAAUGCCAUUUUAUGGUUCAGGAAGGAAUAGUGCUAGGACAUAAAGUGUCCGAACGUGGUAUAGAGGUGGACAAAGCAAAGAUUGAAGUUAUUGAAAAACUUCCACCUCCCACGAAUGUGAAAGGAAUCCGUAGCUUUUUGGGACAUGCAGGGUUCUAUAGACGCUUUAUCAAGAACUUCUCUCAAAUUGCUAGACCCCUGACUAGUCUCCUAGCUAAGGAUGCACCUUUCAUCUUUAGUGAUGAGUGUCAUGAAUCUUUUCAAACUCUUAAGAAAGCACUCAUCUCAGCCCCGAUUAUCCAACCACCUGAUUGGAAUCUUCCUUUUGAGAUCAUGUGUGAUGCUAGCGAUUUUGCGGUUGGUGCCGUUUUAGGACAAACUAAGGAUAAAAAGCAUUAUGCCAUAUCCUAUGCUAGCAAAACCAUGUCUGGACCACAGCUCAAUUACACUACAACUGAAGAAGUGCUUUUGGCUGUUGUCUUUGCUAUAGACAAGUUUAGAUCUUACUUAGUGAAGGCAAAGAUAAUCAUCUAUUCAGACCAUGCUGCUCUCAAGUACCUCCUCACUAAGAAAGAUGCUAAGCCUCGUCUAAUUCGAUGGAUUCUUCUACUCUAAGACUUUGACAUAGAAAGCCAAGAUAGGAAGGGAGUAGAGAAUUCCGUAGCCGACCACUUAUCUAGGCUUCAAUAUAAGGAAACACAUGAUGAGCUUCCCAUAAAUGACUACCUAAGGGAUGACUCCCUGCUUAAGAUAACACAUGCUGAUCCAUGGUAUGCAGACAUCAUAAACUUUAUAGUAAAAGGCUAUGUCCCACCUGGUACAAACAAAAGGAAGUUGCUUCACGAUAGUCGUUUCCACCUUUGGGAUGAGCCAUAUCUUUUUUGAGUCUGCGCUGAUGGACUCUUGAGAAGGUGUGUUCCUAUGGCUGAGGCUACUCAAAUUAUGGAAAGAUGCCAUGCCUCGCCAUAUGGAGGACACUAUGGAGCAUUCCAGACACAUGCUAAAAUUUUGCAAAGUGGCUUUUCUGGCAACCAAUGUAUGAAGAUACAAAGGACUUUGUCAGGAGAUGCCACCGAUGUCAAAAACAUGGGAAUAUCAACUCACGAAAUGAAAUGCCUCUCACAAAUAAUCUUCAAGUAGAACUUUUCGAUGUAUGGGGCAUUGAUUUCAUGGGGCCAUUUCCUAUGUCCAGGAAUUGUGAGUAUAUCUUAGUAGCUGUGGACUACGUGUCCAAAUGGGUAGAAGCCCUACCUUGUCGAUCAGCUGAUUCUAAACAUGCCAAGAGAAUGUUCCAUGAAGUAAUCUUUCCUCGCUUUGGUAUACCCCGGAUAGUUAUAAGCGAUGGAGGUUCCCACUUCAUCGACAAAAUCUUCCGAAAGUACCUAGCCGAUCAUGGAGUUCGACACUACGUUACAACACCAUACCAUCCUCAGACUAGCGGUCAAGCCAAAACAUCUAACAAACAAAUCAAAAAUAUUUUACAAAAGACCGUAGAUGAGAUGGGUAAGGGGUGGAAGGACAAACUUCCUGAUGCACUUUGGGCAUAUAGAACUGCAUUCAAAACACCCAUAGGCAUGUCACCUUAUCAACUUGUAUAUGGAAAAACUUGUCAUUUGCCUGUGGAAGUAGAGUUUAAGGCUCAUUGGGCACUCAAGAAAUGGAACAUGGAUCUCCACCUCGCUAGCGAGAAUCGUCUGAUGCAACUAUCUGAGCUAGAAGAAUGGAGAGAGAAAGCCUACCACAAUUCAAGGAUCUAUAAAGAGAGAACAAAACGAUGGCAUGAUAAGAGAAUCAAGCACAAGGAGUUUAAGCCCGAAGAUAACGUUCUACUAUUCAAUUCAAGAGUUAAGCUCAUUGGGUAUGGUAAGCUACGAAGUAAGUGGGAUGGACCAUACAAGGUUAUUGACACUUCAACUCAUGGAGCCAUUACCAUCCAAGACGACAUAGGUAACACUUUUAAGGUAAAUGGUCAAUGCUUGAAAAUCUAUCUCGAGCCACAAAACAACCUGGUAGGGGAACUUGAUGUGAUUGAGUUCAUAGAAUUCUCACAUUAAGCUUUUAUAAGCUCUAGACAAUUACCUAACCCUUAACAUGCUCCACGAGUUUUGUUGUCUAUUUGGGUUGUGCAGGAUUUUGAGGCUCAAGAAGAGUGAGACCGAACAUGCAAGCCACAAGAGUGAACGACUAUGUCAACAUCCAGCUUAGGGGAGGCACCCCCACGUGUAUCUAGAUAAUUAUUACUUUUCUUUCUUGGUUUUAUUUACUAGUAUUUGGAAAUAAAUAAAAAAGUGCAUAACCAUGAAACCAAACAAAGUUUUUCUUUUGAGUAAUAUACAAUAGUUUUGUGUACUCCUAAGUUUUAAAUAAAAUAAAAAGAAAGUUUGAUCCAAGUCUAGGUAAUUGACAAACAUGAUAUGAAAAGGUCUGAGCUACUAUUUAACUUGUUCCAAGUUUCGCUAGAGUUCUGGAGAUUUUAUCUUUUGAAAAUCUAAAAAUUCAAAAAAAAUGAGAUCCUGUUUGACAUAAUACCUAGAGUCUUAUAAGAUAUAAAUAUUAAAACUGUGGGCACUUGCUUUGUUCAAGCCAUUGUUAAUUCUUGUAGUUUUGGUUGAGAGAAUUAUCAUGCUCCAAAGAUCAAGAUCUUUUUGUUUUAAAAAUAUAAAAGAUUCACUCUUCCAAAGUAUUAUUGCGUUAGAGGCAUGAGACUAUGCAAAAAUUUGAUUCGAAAAAAAAGAGUGAGACGAGAGGUAAAAAUGGACAAGUGUCCGAAGUAGAAUUAGGGGUACAAAGAUACCCACCUGAGUGGAAAAAAAUGGACACAUGUCCGAUAGUAGAAUUAGGGGUACUUGGUGCCCACUUGAAAAAAAGAGAAGAAAAAAGAGAGAGAGAGACUGAAAAAAAAGAAAGAAAAAAAUGAUAGCCCAUGGUCCCUCUCAUAAGCAAUAUGCCAGUAAGAGAUGACAAACUUUUCAAAAAGGUCAAAGGUCUUGAUCUAGGAGUAUGACAUUCCUCUCUCUUGCUCCGAGCAUUGACAUAGCAAAAUGCAAAGUAAGCAUGCUAAAACUUUUAAAGCUCUACUUAUAUAUCUUUCGAGAAGAAGGCAAAUGCCUCAGUUUUAUUUUGGAAACUUACAAAAAACUCCAGAACAAAGGUAAGACAUAAGAACUUGAGACAUAGUGCUUGACUUGAUCGUUCUGUUUUUCAAUCACUUAAGACCUUAGUGAUAACUUAAAAACCCUGUAGUAAGAGGCAUAAAAGUAACCCCUGUUUUCUUGUUGAUUUUAGCUUUGCUCAGGGACGAGCAAAGGUUAAGCUUGGGGGAACUUGUUGACAGUCCUUAAUGCUCACAUUUAACCGUCAACUAAUCAUGGAAAAGGACCUAUAUGCAACCAACAUUCAAAAUUAGGGUUCCAUCUCACAGAAUUCCACGAGUUUUGGUGUUUGUCUAUUUCUACAGGGGGUUAUCAGGAAAUAUGGAGGAAAGGCCCACACGUCACGUUUACAUAGAGAUAUUAAGGCCUGCUACAAUUUUCUGUAAUGAGAUGGACCUAAGAAGCGAUUGGACCGAAGCAGAGGCAGAACGGGGCCUGGCCCAGGGUGCCCGCCCUAGGGACCACGGCGCCCGCCCUCCUGUGGUGCCCAAUCAGGGUCCACUUCAGGGAUUAUGCCCCACCGACUCUAAGGAUCGAGGAAAAUCACGCGAUUAAGGUUGGUUUGAUCGGAUGGUGGAGAAUAACGUGACGCGGAUCGAUGACGUGGAAAUUCCUUGGGGGCUACUCUUCCUAGAUUUCUUGGGGGCUACUCUUCCUAGGCUAUAUAAGGCGAGCCCACCAGCCCCUGGAGGGAUAUCUCUUCUACAGAAUCAAAGCUAGGGUUUCAAUUAUUCAUCCAAGUAGAGAGGAUCCCUCUAGUUCAUCUAGUUCUAGUUCUAGUUCAUCUAGUUCUAGUUCUAGUUAGUUCUAGUUGUAAUCUAGAAAAUAGGGAGAGAGAAGAGGAGAGCGGAGGAGGAGUCGGAUCUGUCGGAUCUUCCUCAACAUUGUACUUUUGCAGCAACCGGUUCGUUCUUCAUCGUUCUCCAAGUUCUUCAAUUCAUAAUUUCUGAGUUCUUUAAUUACUUUUAUUUACAUUCAAGUUAUUUAUUGGAUUCCCGCUUGCAUCAAGUGCUCUAGUCUUUGCAACGCUAGAGUAGUAAUUAAUACAUUAGACGUGGUGUUUAGUCUUGCAAUUACCUGGAAUUGCACCCAAUCCUGUGGAUUGUUGUGGUAACCCUAGGGUAGUGACAGCCCUAACGGUCGACGCAGUGUUUGUAGGACCGUAGUCAGAGCUUCCUAGCCCCCUUCUCAUCUCUUUCUGUGGUUAGUGUUCUAAUGUCCCGAAAUAAAUAAUCUUUGAAGUAAUUCUUGAUUCUUAGAUCAACUAGAGAACUCUCAGAAAACUUCCUCUCUUCCCACCAAAAAUAAUUAUAUAGUUAUUCUUGGGCAAUCUUGAAUCUUAAUUAGUACACUCACGUUUCCUGUGGAAAAUCGAUACUCUGCAAUACUCCUGGGUGAAAGCUACAUCAGUAUCCGUGCGCUUGCGGAUUUUUCUGUUUGCGUUUAAAAUACCCAACACUUGUGUAGACUCAAACUUAGCCCAUGCUUCUUGCAUUGCCUUGCUUGGUGCUGGCGUCCUUGUUUUAACUUUUUCUUUCUCUCUCUCAUUCACCUUUGGUCUUCAGCUUCGCUCUCAUUCCCUUGAAUUUGUGGUGAUAUAUUGGACUCUGAUUCAUCUGAUGACAUGAUCUUAGGUACUUCUAGAAAGGCAAUGGUGAUUAGGGAUGGCAAAUCUUGAGUACAUCUCAGCUACGAAAAGCAUUACUCCCUCUAGAGUUUUUGAGAACUUCAGUGGCACCUAGGGAGUCAUAAAGUGAAUCUCCUUCUUGGUAUGGUAGGACCAUUGCUGUGUCAACUAGCUGGGUGCUGCCAUCUUCAGUAAUAGAACCAGACCAGUGGAUGAUGGAAUCCUGUGAUGUCACUAUCUACACGAGUCUUUCUUGAGCUCCUGUCAACAGUACCCUUCACAUUGGACUGGUUGAAUCUUGAAGUAGUGCUUGAUAAGAGGUAGCCGCAUUGGAGAGCCCUAGGAUCUUGCUUCUCGAUGAAUCUUCAAAAGAUUGUGUGUUGAGCUAUUUUCUGGAGUCCUAGUCGAGAAGAACCUAGAAUGGUGAGUUGCUUCUAAGGCCUCUGAAACUUUGAUGAGAUAGCUUUGGAGCUUGCCAUCACCAUCCGCCUCGCAGAUCUAGGAUCUAAAAAUUAAGACUGAUUCCACUAGGAAGAUCAUGUUGUCAAGAUCCAUCCAUCGAGUUCUCGAAUGCAAAUAUGUUGAAAGCCCAUACCUGGGACCCUAGUUGUCGAUGUUUUACCACCAAUAGCCUACCACGAGGGUACCCUAGACAGUUGUUCGAGCUUUUUCAUAUGCUAAAACUCACUAGUUAACGCAAGAUACAAUUGAUUUUAUACUAGUUUGGGUCCAUGAGAUCGAAUUCGAGUAAUAGCCUUUACAUCCAGUUCCGCGUUAGCUUUUCUAUUGGAUUUAUUAUAUGAAGUUGCUUGUUGUUACAAGGGGUGCCCUUAGCCUCUCUUUAUAUCAGCAGACUAGUUGGAUUCAAAGAUAUUGUUCUAAGUUUAAUAUAGAAGGUACUUUCUAUAAAAAAUUGGCUAAUCCAGCCUAUUCUACUCGGAGUCGGAGUUGUGCCUCGUCAUGUUCCUUUGUGGAGUCAUGGGCCAGGUCGAGGCCCACUUUGCAGUAUCCUCCCGUGAGGAACCCUAUAGGCCCAUACCAAUAGUUGACAUCUACCUUACUUGAAUGAGCAAGGUUAUAUUUGUAGUGGUAGCAGUAACGCAUUGAGUAUACUCCAAAAUGUAUAAUACUAGCCCAAUAUAUAGAAUCCAGGCUGCACUAUCUGAAAAUUUAAUUCAAACCUGAUUUGCAUUUUCCUUUUUCUUUGUCAUAUUACAUUUUUAGGUUGUUGAUGACUUUAAUGGAGCCUCUAUGUUUCUUUUCCUUUUCCUUUGACAUAUAUAAUCUGCAGCUCACUUGCUAGUUGCUACUGACCUUGUAAAAUAUUUGUAGCAAACACUCGGUGAUGCUUUUGUAUAGUUGGUCUGAGAGAGGCCACAGUCCGCUCCCUACUAAUCUUGUAUAAUGUUACUACCCAACGCUCUGUGUCACUUUUAUGUUAACAUUGAACCUUACCAUCUACGAAGCCUGGUAACCAUCAAAACUCCAGAUCAUAUGUAAUAUUUUGAAUAUAUACUAUACUUGCUGCAUUGUACUUAAGCCUAUUAAAAAAUCAUGUUUCCUGCAUUCAUAACUAUCAUGUAUUCCAGAUCUAUUAUCACUAGCACGCAGGGGCGCGCAUUUGCUACUAGUGUGUAGUAAUAGAAUGGAUCCAUUGCUGCUAUUAGUUGUACGUGAGAUUUGGAUUGCUAGAGCCACAUCUCUACAUCUCUACAACUAAAAUGUUUGGACUCCUAUUGUCCACAGCCCGUGCGAUGGGGCUCGCUCGCUCCCUGUGUGUACGAUCCCCGCGUGGUGGACCCAGACGCCCGCACGCAUUGUCCACUAUCCCGACAGCUUGCUUCCCCAGGCGCAUGCUGGCAUGUUCCCUCGUGUGUGGACCAAUGCUCCCUCCUCCCUUUCCCGUCCGGUCCUCUUCCUCCCGUCCGCUCGUCGCACAGGCGCCACGCCACCGCCUCCUCACUCCCUGCUGCACACAGCACCCCGACGGAGUGCCGUGGGAUUCACCUCGACGGAGGAUCUGGUUUUUCCUCGCUGCCCUAUCUUGAGCCAGCUGCGAGGGUCCACGGGCCAGCGGCCUCCCCUUCUUCUCCUGAUCUGUUCAUCGAUCUGUUCGUUGGGGGAGAGCACGCGCGACCGCCCUGCCUUCUUCUCCGCUUGAUCGAAGGCGCUGCCGCUGCCUGCUGAGGUGAUCCGUAACCCAAAGCCAGACCUCCUCGUCAUGACCCGAAGCCCCAAGGCAAGAUCCCCUGUUCUCCCCCCUCCCCAACGCUCUCCAAUGCUCCUCUCUCCUUUUCUCUUAGUCAUCUUUCUCCUCCAUACUCCUUUAGUCCGUCCUCCUCAGCCAAAUUGCCUACUUAUAUUGUUGUUGUUUUAUUUUUUUUCCAUAAGGGAGAGUAUGUGCAGGUAGGUUAUUUUAAAUUCAGUAGCUUCAGUUCUUGCUUUAUUAACAGUAUAAAUUUAGGACCACCUGCUCUACUAAUGCUUGACUGGGGCAAACAAUUAUAGAAUUUGCUUUCUGUACCUACAAAUCCAUUGCCUUCAGAUUGGAGGUUUCAAAUUUGCUUUCUUUACCUGCAGAUCUAGUAACCAGUUUGUUACUGCCCACAUCCAGAAAGUGAUCCACACCGCUAGAAACCACAAGCAAGGCAAAGUUCUGUUAUCUGCAAAAUUCUUUUUUUCUCAAAUUUAGUUUCAAGAUUUUAUCAACCUGAAACUGAGAACUCAAGAUGCUUUGGUGCUGUUUAGAAUACUCAAUGGUUUUGAGUUUCAUAUUGCAUUGGCAAUCAACUUUAAACCCUGCUAAGGACUUUAUUUUCUGAAGCACCAACGUGUGCUUAACUGUUUCUGAAGCCACUAUGCAGUAGCAGAUAAGUUUGAUGAGGUUAAGGUGCUCAGAAACUGCUUGUGUACUUGAAAUCAGAUUUAUCUAUAGAAAAAACAUUGAAUUGCUACUGUUUUGUUAUAUACCAUUUCAAAAUAAGUUUUUAUUUUUGGUACGUGUCAAACAGUUUGCAUGAAAGAUUUAUUUGGUUUUUUUUCAUAUGGUCGAUUUAGGGACUGCAUGUGAUUCUUAGAAGCUGCAAAGUGCAUGUUUCAUAUCCUUUAUGCAAAUGCAAGAUGAGAUUUGCUGCCUGUCAUAACCUCAAAAAAAUAAGACUUCGAUUGAUGGACUUAUUAUCAUUAAGAACAUAACCUUUUCUUGACUCAAAAGUACUAAAUUAACCUACUUCCAGAAAAAUUCUUGCUGAACUCACCACAUGUUGCUUAUUUUAUUUUUUGAUUGACGAGAGCAUGUUUAGGAAAAGUUUGUUAUAUUUUCGUCAUUUCAAAAGCUAAGAUUUUUAAGUAUUCAAAAAAGAUCGAAGCAUUAGCUAGCUUCAAUGGUAUGUUUCUAUUGUACUGAUUCGUUUUGUUUUCAUUAUCAUGCUAAAUUGAUUUUCCUAUUCUUCAGGAAAUAUAAAUCUAUGAAGGCUACUCUUUUGUAAUAAAUGAGGAUAUGAAAACAUGAUAGCUUUAUAUAUUCAAUGCUAUCCUGUGAAUGAAUCAGUAAGAAAGCAUUUAUAAUCUAUAAUACAAAACCAAAUGUUACAAGAAUGAGUUUAUUGGACCUAAAUAUGAAAAAAGGUUUUGAUUUGCUCUAAAUUUGGGAACGGAAUGAGGUUUCAGAAUUUGUCCAAGCUAAUCACAUCAGUAGCUUGGUGAUUAGUGUAGUAGAGCAGCCAAUUCGACUAAAGUGAUGUACUAAUAUUGUUUAGUGUACGGCAUCUCACUUUCAACAGAGUUAUUCUUCUUCUUGAGUAGCUUGGCAUAUAUUAACAUUUGGAAGAUAUGAGAUAAUUGAUGCCUUGAAAUAUUCCUUUCAUUUAUUUUUAUCUCUUCAACUUAUUCAGGUCCUUAUUCAGUCUAUUUUAUAUCCAUGUUGGUAUAUAAUGGAUAACCAAGUUUAAGCUUCCACAGCCUUUGCUAUUGCACUGUUCUGAGCAGCUUGAAUCCCUGCGAACAGCACCACCAUCUUCCUUGUAGUAUCAAUCGUGAUCUAUCACCUGUUUAGGUAACUUGCUUGCUCACCUCCUAUUUAACAAUAUACCAAUGUGUCUUGUGCUUGUGUUUUAGGCAAAGGUAAACAUCAGGAGCAUAGGCGCAGGCAGCCAGCGCAAGCUAGGGCGGUAUGUCUAUCUUCCUCACAGCAACAUCCACUGCUACGAGGGGCUGUACUUUGUCGUUGGAUGAUCCAACAGUCCUAGGCAAUUGCAUGCCUUUGAUUGUUUGGUUAUUGGAACAGGAAUGGGAAAGGGAUCAGACAUCAGACCAGCAAGGUAUAGGAUCAAAUUAAUUUAUUAUAUUAUCAUUCUAUUCUAUCAAUUCAGAUUGCAAUUCUCCUCCUUCGCACGUGAUGAUGUGAUGCAUAGGCAUAGCAACCAUUUAGAGUUCAGAGUUCGUGCAAGUUGCCAAGUUAGUGUCAUCUCUAAUGAAUCUCCCUGUGCUGUUUCAUUAACAAAGAUGAAAACUUGACCUAGCUUGCGUCUUUCACUAUGGACAAACACCAAAGCAUUCAGCCUAUCAAAACUCGACAAUAUUCGAUCUUUGACUACCAGUUCAGAAUGUGGCAAAAUAGUUUUAGUCUUUGACUACCAGUUCAGAACCCGAUUUUUGUUUGUUUCAAUUUAUUGAAUUUUGUAGGGAAUUCAAUCUACCAGUUUAGAACAUGGCAAAAUAGUUUCUAGAGGUGAUGAUCAGCACUCUAUCAUAGUCUAGGAUAAGCAGAUUUUCAACCUUUUGGAAUAAAUAAAGGGUCACGAAGCACUGUUAAGGUUCUUACAUUUUGCUGUAGAUUUAUUUUAAUGUCUUCAUUGCCUCUCAUUAGUAACUAAGAAACAUGUUCCGUUCAAUAUCAAUAUAGGUUAGAUCUGUCCCUACGCACAAAAAGAAGGUUAAUUCUGUACGGAUGCUCUCAUGAUGGGACUGUGAAGAUGUGGGAUAGUGAAAAUUUAGAUCUUUGUGAACCAAGCUAUAGCUGGAACUUUUUAUUAAUAAACACAAUGUUUAUCAAAGUAAACUUUUCAUCAUAAUGAAAUAUCUCAGAAAUCUCAUGCUAACAAUUCAGAGCUUCGAUCUACUUUGCAAAUUCAGAGUGGUCCAAAAUUUAGAGUUCAACUAAAUAUGUAUGGUGACUUAUGGAUCAGUUAUAAAUACUGUAGUGAGACGGAAUGACACCUGUGGAAUUAAAUCAACAUCUUUUAUGACCCCAAACAUGCUAUGACCUCAUCCUUUCAUGUGCCUUACAUAGGAUGAGUUCAGUUCAAAUUCAGUUAACAACUGAACAUAACGACUGCCACAAAACCCCAUGGUCAUGGCUCAUGCUCAUGCUUGAUGGCAAUCAUAUGUUAGGACACACACACACACACACAUAUCAGAUAAUUAUAUUCCCUAGCAAGAGGGUAGCCUGCAGCAAAAUAGGGAAAAUGAUAUAUAGUGAGGGCAUUGCACAUACAAAACUUACUCUAAUCUGUUUAAUCAAUGGUAUGUCAAUUCACUGUUCAUAUAUGUUAUAUUCAAUGCUUAUGUAAUAUUGAUUGGAACACCAUGAUUGCAAUAUGUAUUGCCUUUAAAAAAGGAGUAUAGCACACGCUUAUACAUAUUUGUUAUCGUGGUAUUAUGUGUUUCCGUUGCAACGCACAGGCAUUUACCUAGUUACCAAAAAAGUUUGUUCACUCUCCCUUUUGUCCGCACAUACAACUUUCCGUUACCUACUAGAAUCACCACAGUCAUAAACAGUGCAUGCAAAUACAUGGAUGGGAGAUAUAAUAUUUUCAUUGGACAUGGUUUUAUGUGAAGCUAACAGUAGUUUGGAAAAACUGUAGUGCGUCCAUUGACAAACAAAAGAUAAAAUAGCGCCUUUGGUUCAUAAGUAAUAUUAAGAUUAUCAUGUUGACAUUCAUCAAUAAGGCACGCUUUAUUAAGAUUAGGUUUCUUAUGUUCUCGUAUUACAGAUUCAUGUUCUCUUGUUCGGGAACCAUAAAUAACAUAAAAGAUAUCUUUAAUUGUUAUUAACCUCCAUGGCUCCCAUAGUUACUGAACUCUAGCAUUUGAUUGGAAAAUCUGACCUUCUGUGGCUCAGGGCUUCAUGUAAAUACAAGGUUUUAGUCUUCAUGUAGUCGAUUGUAUUCUUUGUCCGGAAGGUGAGAUGGUACCACUUGCGUCCUUGCAAGCACCCCUUAUCUGAUCUCGUCUUCUCAUUCUUUCAGAGUACUUUGUAAUAUCAAGGCUAGCAGUGUUUCUUCCUCCAAAAGCAAACUCCAACUUGUCCAGGUCAAAUAUGUCAGCCAAUAUCCUCUGGCUAUCUGAGUUGUUGCUAUAAACAAAUUUCACUUUGUCGUACAACAUUGGCUCGAUGAAGUGUUUUACUAUCUGCAGAAAGAGCAAGCAUUUCAUACAUCUUGCCGACAUAUAUAUUCACUAAAACUCAUCAAUCUUUACAUAAAAGGAUUGAUACUGCCUUGCUUAAGUCAUAUCAUGGUCAUAGAAAAGCGUAAAGGUAGCUAUCAUGUUUAGUUGGAAUACCAACUACCAUAUGAUGAUUUUAGUAGUACAUUGAUAAUAUGCUUCUUAUCAUGAUGAAAUGUUUUGAAUGACGUAGUGUAAAUUAGUAGAUAAAAGUCACAAUAAAUUAUUAGUAAAAGUCAAAGAUGGCUAACAAUUUACAUUCUUAAAAACCACAAACUUUUAGAAAAAGAGUAUUGCCUUCGUUCAAAAUUAUAAGACACUUUGACUUUUUUUGGUACAUCCAUUUUACUUUGUAUGUAGAUGCAACUUAUGUCGAUCUAGAUAUAUAGCAAAGUGGAUGUAUCGAAAAAGUCAAAGAGACUUAUAAUUUAGAACAAAUAAUUUUGUAUACAAAUAAGUUGAUAUAUGAGUACCUUCCAAAAAGAUUCAAAUAUCUUUGGCGGAUUACAGAGAAUUGCUGCUCCAAUCAACCCUGGAUAAUAGUUUUGAAUUAUGUGCAACGAUUCUCGGGUUUCCCACAAUGGUGUAGUUGAUAGUGUCCAACCAUGGAAAUCACAAAUCCAAACAACGUUCUUUUCUUGUGCGUCUUUCGAGCUCAAUGCCAAGAUCUCAAGGUUAUACACAAGUUGUUUUAUAUGUUCCUUUGUUGAAGUUAAGCUCUGUAAAAAAUGGGAGAAUUUCAGUAAAUGUGAUCGAUGCAUAAAAUGAGGUACGUGCAUACAAUAAAGUUGAAGUUGAUUCAUAUCCUGUUCAGGAACAAGAUAAGCUAUUGUGAUUCUGAAUUUAAGAUUCCUAUACUUGAGAAUGGAAACAUAUGUGGACUCCUACUUGCAUCAGAUCUUGUGGCCUAUAUAUGUAUAAAUAUCUAGGUGAAUAGUGACUACAAACCUUGUCACCAAGAGAAAACACAAUACCACAAUGAGGUAGAAGCAAAAUUAGACAACUUGAGAGAAUUUGAGGCUACUAAAACAUAAUUUUUUAUUCUUGUAUAGGGAUAAGACUUAAGGGUACCAGGAAUCUCAAGGACGCAUGCUAAAAAUCUCAUGUUAUCGAGCUAUUAUAGUUUUGCAAUGGAUUCAUGUUGUCUACUCCAAAUCACACAUAGUAAAUACUUCUACAAGAUCUAUGUGUCAUUCAUAGAAUCAUGCAUUCUUGUAUGGAUCUAUUAUAUCUUACAAAAUCAGAUGUUAAGCUCUUGGCUAACAUAUAGCUAACAUAUAUAUUUCUAGUCACUAUUUAAAACUAUUUGAUUCACGGUUGAGAGACAUGGUCUACAAUAUCAUCCACCAUUUUUGGUUUUAUAAUAUAUCUUGAGAACACAUAGGCAAAUUUAUAACAUAUAACAAUGAGUUUUACACAUUUUUUUGAGAUCAACAGUAGGCUAAUGUCAAUCUAUAUUUUCAAACUCCAGUAUCGAAUCCACAUCACAAAAAGAGUAGUGUCAAUUUUUUUAGGAAACAACCAAUACAAUGCAUGAUGUUAUGUCACUAUAUCCACUGUAAUGAUAUUAAAUAAUUAUUUCAUAUUUUUUUGUCCAUGAAGGUGGAUCCAAACUGUUAAAGUUAAUGUUGAACUUGUUGGAUUUGGUGCCAAAGUUGUUACACCAUGGUGUUACAACUCCAUUCUCUAUAUAUCAAUUAUUUUUUUGCCACAUAAGCAAAAGUUAUAUAUGUUGUUCCUACUCCAGGAGAAGUUACUCCCAUCUUCUAUAAACCAUAUUGCGAAUGUGGCCAUACUUAUUUAUCAUUUGGAGUAUGUUUAUAUAGUCAUUUUAAGAUACUCCAAAUCUUACUAUGUGAAAAAAAUUCAAGAGACCCCAUAUUUUUUAAUAUAUUAGUAUAAUACUAUGGUAGUAGUAUAUAAAAUAAGUAUAACUAUAUACUCUACACAUACUUACAUACUUGACAUACAUACUGUCCUUGAUGGUCUAGUAUGGUUAUAUACUUUGUCCACUUAUUCUUUGUCGGGCCAUCUAUACUCUAAAUCUAAAGACAUACACAAAGGACACUCCAGGGAGACCCAAGCACCAGUGAUAAAAUGUGGUGGUGAAAUUUUGAUUUGUCACUGAUCCACAUGUUAUUAGUGACUAAACUAAUUUUCAUAACUAUUGCAUCAAUUAUUAGUGGCAAACAACAAUAUCUCCAUAGGAUGCACCUUCAGUGGUGAAGUUAGUGAAGAAACAUUAAUUUAUCACUAAUAAAUAGAUUAAUUGUGACUAAAUGUUGUGGAAAAAUAUUUUUAUUCACUGUUUACAAGGUUAAUUGUGACCAAAUAAUUUUUCUUACUGUUACAACAUUAAUCAGUGACAAAAGCACGUGUCACACAUAAUAAAUAAUUUGUGGCAAAUAUUGUAUUAUCAAUAUUUACUAGGUUAUUUUGACUAAAUAUUACUCUCUAACUAGAGUAUGAUUUUUAUUAGUGUCAAAAUUUCCUCACUAUUAUUUCUUUAGGAACACAUAAGAAUAAAACCAGAUAAAUAUAUAUUUGGAACUUCAACUACCAUGGUGGGGAUUGGCGAGCUUUGGUCGGAAAACAUUGCCAGGUGCAUUUGGUUCAUUUUGAAAAAUGGAUAUUGCUGUUCUUACCCGUGCUGUAGAAACUAUCGGUAAUUUUACUUUUACCUUUUGAAAUUUAGAAUUCUAUCCCCAUGUUUAGAAAUUAUAAAUGAGCCACUUGUCCGGACUAUUCGUUUAGCUGAAAAGUUAUGGCUAAAAAUACUAUUCGUUAAUUUAUUAUAAGAGAAAAAUAUUAUUAAAUGAUUGAUAGAUUUAACAGAUAAGCUCAAGUGAAUAAGAUGGAACUGCCCUCUAUUCUGACCCCAUCAUCCCAUCGUUUGAAGCCAAGACCACCUCAGGCUUGUAUUGUUCUCAUCAUUACUAGCAGCAGUGGUCAGCGGCAGGCUUGUUUAGGCCUUGUUUUGAUUCGAUUUUUUUUUAUUUUAACACUGUAGCAUUUUUAUUUUUAUUUGAUAAACAUUGUUUAAUUAUGAAAUAAUUAGAUAUAAAAGAUUCGUCUCGUAAUUUACAGACAAAAUGUAUAAUUAGUUUUUGUUUUCAUUUAUAUUUAAUGCUUCAUGCAUGUGCCGCAAAAUUUUUUAGUUUUUGGAUGAACGCCUUAGGUGCAAGUAUACAUGGCUAUAAGGAUGAAAACGGAACGGAAAUAUCUCGAACCGAACUGAACCGCUUUCUAUAUUUGAUCCGAUCGAAUUCGUAUUUUCUUGUCCGACUUUAUCGUUUUCGUUUUCGUAUUUUAGAUGUUUUAUAUUUUAAAUGUAAAAGUAGAAAAUGGUUUUGAUAUUUUUCGACCGUUUUCUGCUUUUCUACUUUUAAUUUGAAAUAUUUCGAAUUCAAAAUUUCGUUUAAACCGAAUUUAGUUAACUGUAGGGUCACACAGCCCAAUUACAAACUACUAAUCAUGCAUCUACGUUCUUUCUACUAGUGGCUAGUUGCGUUCCCUAGCUAUUAUUGCUUAUUCUAGACUUGUAUUUAUGUGUGGGCUAUUGUAUUAAAUACCUAAGACCAAGGAUCAUGCACUUUUUAAUUAUUAUAUGGACUUGAAUUUGAUCGUGUAUAUACUUAGUCAUGUACUUGGUACUACAUAUUGGUAUUUCGUAUUAAGUUUUCGUAUAUCGACCGUGUUCGACAUAAAUCCGAUCGAAUUGGUUCGUUUUCAAAAUUCUCGAUAUUUCGUAAGUUUGUGUUCGUUUUCGUGUCCGACUUUACCAUUUUCGUUUUCAUUUUCGUAUUUUAAAUAUAAAAGUAGAAAACAAUUUAGGAGUUUUUCGACCGUUUUCAUCCUUACAUGGCUAUGUAGCCCGUGGGCCGAUGACACGAUCCAUGGCGCGGCAGUUUGGCCUUACCUGAGCAGUGGCCCGCGGCCCGGUACCAGUCAUAGGAUGGUGGCUGUGGCAUGAGUAGUGAUGAAAACGGAUUGGAUACGAACGAGUACUGUUGAUAUUAUAUUUGUUUUUAUUUUUUUAUGAUAUUUGGAUUCGGAUACGGAUAGAUAUCGGAUACAACUACGGAUACAGAUGUCUUGGAUGUGAAUACGGAUAAAUAUAUAUCGAAUACAGGUUCAGUCGGAUGCGGAUAGUGUUGAUUACAAAUAUUGCUCCGGAUAUUAAGUAAAAGCAACAUCUAUCUAUAAACAUGUGUUGUAGUCAUUUGACCACUCCGUGAGUCCUAAUUACAUCUAGAUUGUACUAUCUCCGUAUAGGAUUUAGAAGUCGUUUAAAACAUCGACAUGGUCUUCAAAACACAACUUUAACCUCUUAUUUUUAUGAAAAAUAUUUAGAAAAAAUGUAUAAAUAUAUAUUUAUAAAAGUAUUUUUUCAAGAAAAAUCUAUUUAUAUAUUUUUGACAUUUACAAACUCAAUAAUUUAAAAAUUAUUGAUGAUUUAUAUUUGUAAUAUUGAACUUAAAUCUUAUCUAAAAUGACUUCUAAAACCUAUACGGAGGGAGUACGUGUAGAGGUCAGGCAGGCCCACUCACGAAUUAGGAACGACGUGGCUCGGCUGUUGUAUACUUCAUGGGCUUCGGCUUUGGGCCAACACAUCCUGCUACUUGUGUUGGGCCUGUGCGAAUGCGAGCAAUGAAAACAUAAGACAAAGCAGCAUCGAGUAUGCUAGUUUAGUUCCACCUCGAUGCCCAGCCAGGAACACAGGAGCAGGCUUCCUAUAUAAGACUAUGAGCACAACAGUUUGCAAGGCUUAGCAAAAUUGCUAGGUUACGGUGACGUAAUUAACUCCAACUCAAUAUAAAUUUAUAUGUUAAAUUUAAAUAUAUAUUCGGAUAUAUUUCCAGAUAAUCUAAAAAAAUAUUGGAUAUCUGAUAUCCGGUGGAUAUUAAUGAGAUUAUAUUUGUAUCCGCUAUCCGUCAAGUAUUCGAAUUUAUAUCCGAUAUCCGAUAGAUGGUCCGGAUAUCCGAUAUAGAUGUCCGUUUCAGUUUUCAUGACAUUCGGACCGUAGGAUUUUUAUCAUUUUAGGCCUUGUUCAGUUCGCAAAAACUUGUGAAAAACGGCACUGCAGCACUUUCGUUUUUAUUUGACAAACAUUGUCCAAUUAUAGAGUAACUAAGCUCAAAAGAUUCAUCUCGCGGUUUACAGAUGAACUGUGCAAAUAGUUUUUGUUUUCAUGUAUAUUUAAUGCUCCAUGCAUGUGCCGCAAGAUUCGAUGUGACGGGGAAUCUUGAAAAAUUUUGCGAACUAAACAAGGCUUUAUAUCCGAUAUCCGAUAGAUGGUCCCGAUAUCCGAUAUAGAUGUCCGUUUCAGUUUUCAUGACCUUCGGACCGUAGGAUUUUUAUCAGACCAUUUUCAUCCAUAGGCAUGAGGCACAGUGCUAGUUCAGGUCAGCGCCCACGGCCACGGCUGGUACAAUGCCCGCUGGACACAGCAGAAGGUGCUCGCGGCUGCUACGGUCAUCUUGCGGGCGACAACACCGCCAGGCGUGCGGGCAGCAGCUCAGCGUCUGGCAGGUGGCAUCGUCCCACGGGCUGUCAUGCUCUCGUGCGGCCAGAGGCCUGACACGGUGGCUCAUACGUUGCUCUCCAGGCCUACCGAAAUUUUCGUUUGUUUUUGGAUAAUGUGGUAUUUUUAUUUUUAUUUAAUAAUUAUUAUUCAAUCAUAGACUAACUAGAUUUAAAAAAUUCAUCUCGUAAUUUAUAAACAAAUUGUGCAAUUAGUUUUUAUUUUCGGCUAUGCUCAUUAUUUCAUACGUGUGCCGUAAGAUUCGAUAUAACGAGAAAUCUUAAAAAGUUUUUGGUUUUGGUUGAACUAAACAAGGCCUUAUAUUGUUUGAUCAUUCUCUAUAUUUGUCUAUUCAUCGGUCUCAAAAAGAGUGACGCUUUUGAUUUUAGACAUUGUGUUUGACCGUUCAUUUUAUUUAAAAAGUUUUUAUAAAUUAGAAAAUAAAUAAAUAUAUAUUAAAAUAUAUUUAAUGAUAAAAUAAGUCAUAACAAAAAAAAUAAUAUUUAGACAAAAAAAUUGAAUAAGACAUAUGGUCAAACAAAUAUUUAAAAGUAAAAAACAUCAGUCUUUUUGGAUGUAGGGAGUAUGCUAAACGCUCAAUCGUCUAAUGUCUUAGUGAUGAUUGACAAUUCAAUAGCAUUGUUUGGGCAAAUUUGUAGAUACACAACUUUUAGUGCACACUUACGUAUGCAUUAUGUUAAGAUACAUAAUACAAAUAACAUAUAGAAAAGAAAAAACACCUUAUAAUUUAAAAUAGAGUAGCACCUAAUAUAUGUACCCAUUACAACCCACCGGGUACUGAAACUGACCUUUUUUGACGUCAUUAUUGCGAAGACAGUUCUCCCAUUGUUGUCAAGAUAGUCUGGUAUAUACGCUCUUCGAACCUCAUUCUCCAUGCUAGCGAGGUCUUCCUAACAUGAUUUCCAAGAAGAAAUAUAAACUUUGUUAUUACCAGUAUAUAACAAAUACUACGCGUAAUAUCAAGCGAUCAUUUUGAGAAGUUACGUUCCCACUGAGAUACAUAUGUAGACUAGCUACAUGCACAUGUGAGUAAGUUUAUUGGUAAAAGGGCUGGUGUCUAUGUAAUGUGUUUUAGUGUUUGGUUUGUGAAAUCACCUCGUGUUCGUGAGUAGGUAUAUCAAUAUUUCAUUCCUUUAAUAUAAUGAUCAAUCAAUUUCUCAUACAUAUACUAAUUACUAGCUCGUGUGAAAUGAACUUGUGAUGGAUCAGCUCAUUAUGUUCCACAAACCAAAUAAGAAAAAGUGAGAAAUGAGUUGACGAUGGCACCUAAUUCUUCAAACCAUAAACACAGCUACCCCCUAUGUGUUGAUCUCCGAGAGCAGAGUAGUGUGUGUGCCUUGUUAACAAAGGACCGGGCUAUCACAAAAAGUUAAACUGAGAAGGAGGAGUAUUUUUCUAAUUAUUUCAGAAGAACCUCUAGAGUAUUAAGAUUCGAAGUAUAGCAAAGAUUCGAAUACCCAGCAAAUCUUGUCUGGCUUGUACUGACGCCUCCACUUGACAGCUUCCUUGAGAGCCUUGGUCGCUUGUUCCAUGCUCCAGUUCUUUGCUCGGAGAAACCUGCGGAUGGUGCCGUCCGAUAAGAAGCUCGGCAUCUCCGUCGGCAGGUCGCCCAGCAGCUCACGGACCUCGUCUAUCUUCAUGUCCAGGACUCCAGAGAUUCAUGUCACUUCAUGUAUCGACAGUACAAAAUAGAGGAAACGACAUUAAUUAAUACAGUAGUUUCUGACUGGUUACCUUUCGCUGUUGUUCCUGAGGAGACGCCUGUUUUUGUUGCUUCCCUUCAUUCCUGGUCUUCAACAGAGAACUCAUGGCUCUGCGAUGGAUAUGUGGCCGGGGCUGGCUAGCUACAGAGCGCAAGAUGCAGCGAAACCUGGAUUGUAACUUCCCGCGGAUUUAUUGAGUUUCUAACGCGUCGUGGUCGUAUUAUUUUUUGAGGUCUGGAAGCAUCGUAUCGGUAGAAGCAGACGAGUGGACGACGUGAUCGAAAGGGAAUAGCAAUACACAAACCUGGGUGGCUGGGUAGCUAGCAGCUGCUGCCGCCAUAAUGGUUGGACCCAGACUGGACGCGAACACUGAAUGUGGUCAGCAUCGCUGACCAUACCCAUAAAUAGAAUACAUAAGCUAGUCAAAGGCUAUCACCUAAAAAUUCAAAAUUUUACAAGAUUCUCUAUCACAUCGAAUCUUACGGCACAUGCAUAAAACAUUAAAUGUAGAUAAAAAAAAUAACUAAUUGCACAAUUUACUUGUAAAUUACGAGACGAAUUUUUUAAACCUAGUUGCUCCAUGAUUGGAUAAUGUUUUGUCAAAUAAAAAUGAAAGUGCUACAGUGUCAAAAUCCAAAAUUUUUUUGAAUCUAAACAAGGCCAGAGUAGAUCAAAGAUGGCAAGAGAAUUCGAUCAGCCGGUGUUCAUGUACGUUUUUUUUGACAAGAGAUGUUCAUGUACGUUGAAGUUAUAGCAGCCAGAAACUUAGGCUUUGUUUAGUUCCGAAAAGAUUUCGGAUUUCGUACUGUAGCACUUUCGUUUGUUUAUGACAAAUAUUAUCUAAUUAUAGACUAACUAGGAUCAAAAGAUUCGUCUCGUGAUUUCCAGCUAAACUGUAUAAUUAGUUUUUGCUUUCGUGUAUAUUUAAUGUUUCAUGCAUGUGCCGCAAGAUUCGAUGUGACGGAGAAUCUUGAAAACUUUUUGCUUUUGGGUGAACUAAACAAGGCCUUAGAACCAGUGAAGAUAUGGGAGAUACACCAAUUUAACGCCGACAAAAUUUUUAUGGUGGACAGUCAUCAAAAUAAUUAAUUACUGGAUCUAUCUAUGUGGGAUAGAUGCUUUGUUGAGGAAAGGGACUCUGCCGACAAAUAAUAUAGGGCGCUGUUGGCAACAGGACAUCAACCGUGACCCCACAAAUCCAAAUUAAAUGGAAUAAUAGCGAACUGAUUAUAGGUCAGAUGGUUAGCUUUCUUAUGGUAGAACCUGUAUACCUAGGUUCAAGUUCUCGAUUUGGCACUGGUGCUGGCAUUUUGCUGGAUUUAUUCUAAGAGUUUACGGUGCUAUGUUUAAGUAGUAGGUGACGUCUCCGUCGACAGCAAGACACUUGUGAUAACUUCGUGAAUCUCUAGAUUUACUGCAUCAAUCCUUCAUAGGUGCUCAUCAUAAGGAUAGGGCUAUAAGUGACUGCGUUGUACUCUCUUUGUACCUCAAUUAGCUAAGGUUUUGGGCAACCUUGCCGUUUUUUCAAAGACUCGCGCUCAGAGGUCUCACCAAUCGAGCUACACCAAGUUGUUGUAGAGGAAACACUCGCAGUACUAUUUAAUAGGGGCAAAGCACGAAAACUAAUCCUUAAUUAAUUACUCCUUGGUUACCGCAAUCAUGUUCUAAACGUCAGGUAAUUCAGGUACGGAGGGAGUACUGUGUAAUUCUAAAAAAAUAAACAAAACAAUAAUAGGGUUGCCGGUGAUAAAGUAAAUACUCCAUCAUUUCCAAAUUAUAAGGCGUUUUAACUCUUGUAAAUAUAUUAUUUUUAUUAUGUAUCUAGAAAUUAUGUAUAUCUAAAUGCGUAAUGAAAUUUUCUUUAAAAAAAUCCUUACAAAAACUUCAAAAAAAAAUCAAAGCGUCUUAUAAUUUGUAAUGGAGGGAGUAGUCAACAGUUAUGUAUGUGCAUCUCUUCCUAGCUGUUGAAAGGACCAAAUAGUCCAAGAGUGAGAUGAAUUUAGCUCAAGAAAUUUGAAUAACAACAACCUUAGGAUAUGCAAAUUCAAUUUUAGCUACUUGCAAGGUAGUACCUACAACUAAAAUAAUUACACUAAUGUUGUCGUUAGAAAGGUAGACACUAAACAUGCCAAGUGAAUCUAUCAGGAAAUUUGCACAACAGUUGAUACAAACCCAUGAGAUAAGCAACUAUAGUAGAGCUCAUGAUCACACUAGGAGAAGGGUACUUAGUGUGGAAACUAAAUCUAUUAAUGUUAGGGAUAAAUAUUAUGGACACCCAUCUAAGGAUAACAAACCGUAGUCAUGAACCUCGAUUGUCUGAGGAUAGACCCUAACCCGUAGUAAAUGGACCAAGCCUCGGGGAGCUACUGUUGAUGGUAGAUAACUCCUAAAUUUAAUCGUCAACUAAACAUGAAAUUGGACCUAUAUGCAAACACCUAGUAGAUAUAGGGUUAUCACUAACAGAAUUCCACGAGUUUUGGUGAAUAUCUGUUUCUGCAGGGUGUCAACUGAAAACAACCAAAGAUGGUCCACAUAUCACGUUUACAUAGAGAGAACACCGCAAGCGUCAACUUUUCUAUGAUCUAGAAGGUUCGAGGAGGCUCCAGACCGAACGAGAGGCGAAACGGGCACGGGUGCCGGGCGGCCGCACGGAGACCCCAUAGGCGCCCGCCCCACUAUGGUGGCCAAUAACACCCAACCUCGCGGAUUCUGCCUCCACCGACUUUGUGGAUUAAUCUUAAGCACAGUUUAAGUCUGUUUGAUCCAAGGGCUGCGGUGCUUCCUAAGGGGCUAUAAAUAAAGACCAUGACCCCCACAGAGGCAUCUCCUUCAUCUUCUUCAUUAGCUAUCUGCAUAGCAAAAACUAAGGUUUCAUCAAGUAGAGAAGUAGAGGUCCCUCUAGUUCAUCUAGUUCUAGUUCUAGUUCUAGUUAUUUAGUUGUAUCUAGAUUAGAGGGAGAGAGAAGAGGAGAGAGCCAAGGAGGAGCCAGAUAUGUCGGAUCUUCCUCAACAUUGUAUUUUGCAGCAACCAGUUCGUCUUUGGUUAAUCUCCAUGUGCUUCAAUUCUAUAGUUCCUAAGUUUUUAUUUAACUUUCAUAUUUACUUUUAAGUUAUUUAUUGGAUUAUUGCUUGCAUCAAGUGCUCUAGUUCUUUGAUACGCUACAGUAGUAAUUAAUAGGUUAAGCGUGGUGCUUAGUCUUGCAAUUACCUAGAAGUGCACCCAAUCCAGCGUAUUGUUGUGGUAGCCCCAGGAUCGUGACAGUCCUGACGGCCGACGUAUUCCACCAUGUUCAGAGUAGUGUUGUAGGGCCGUAGACAGAGCUUCCUAGCCCCUAUCUCAUCUCUUUCCAUGGUUAGUGUUGUGAUGUCCCAAAAUACAUAACCUUAGAGUAAAUUCUGGUUCCUAGAUCAACCUAUAGAACUCUCAGGAAAAUUCCUCUCUUCCCUACAAUAUUAUAUAUAGUUAUCCUUGGGCAUUCUAAAACUCAACUAGUACACUUCACGUUCCCCGUGGAAAAUUGAUACUUUGGAAUACUCUCGGUUGAAAGCUACAUCGGUAUCAGUGCGCUUACGGAUUUUUCUGUGUGUUUAAAAUAUCCAACAAGCUUUCUAGCGCCGUUUCUAGGGAACGGUAGCUGUGUUAGUUCCGAGCCAAGUUCGUCCAUUUAUCCUUUUUCUUUUUUACCACCUUUUUAAUCACCACAAUCAUACCACAUGGAUUCCACUCCAAUCUAUAAAUUAUCCACACCAAAGCGCGAGUUCUUAAAGCCACCACAAUCGUCGAAGCCAACACAGCUUCUAGCUAUGAACUUCAUCCUGGCUUUAUAGUCAUGGUUCAGGACCAAUCCUUCUCUGGGCUAGAAAAUGAAGAUCCUCAUAACCAUCUUACGAAAUUUGAGCAAUUGUGUUCUUGCCUAACUAUUGAUGGCAUGACACAAGAGACCCUCAAAUGGAAGUUGUUUCCAUUCUCCCUUUUAGGUAGAGCAAAACAAUGGUAUGCUCAUUCCGUAAGAGGCGUCAAUGGAAAUUGGGAUGAACUUCGAGAUAAGUUUUGUCAUACUUUCUUCCCUCUUUCUAAAAUAGCAGCCCUUCAUAGAGAAAUUCUUAACUUUGAACAAAAAGAGAAGGAAACACUAGGAGCUGCUUGGGCUAGAUUCAUAAGCCUUACUAAUUCUGGUCCAACCCAUUCCUUGCCGGAAAACAUCCUUUCAAAACACUUUUAUCUAGGACUUAACAAGGAAGCUGCUCUACAUCUCGACUCCGCUUCAAGAGGUUCAUUCUUGCAUAAAACCAUAAAUGAGGGGCAAGCCAUUCUUGAGAAAACCCUUGAAAACACCCCUUACACUAGCAUUUUUGAUGAGUUUCCCAAAGAAGAAAAAGUAGUCGAGCCCAGCCCUAAACCACAAGAUGAGGAACACACAACCGAAUUAGAUAUUUCAAUAGACUCUUCUAAUAAUUUGGUUGUUGAAAAACCUCCCAUUGAGGGAAUGCAAACUCAACUAGAGGAUGAUGAAAGAUCCCCUUUAGAGUUUCCCUUUGAAUUCAAGGAAGAUAUUUUUGAAGACUAUGGAAUUUCAUUGAAUUGUCUUGUCCAAGUGAGACCUCAAGAAAAGACCACUCCUAUUGAACUACAUUAAGAAUUAAUGGCUAUAGAACACAUUCAAAGCCUUUUGGCAGUCAUGAUGGCUAAGAGAAGCAGAGUUAUCUCCUGAGGUAGCUCGGAUCACCUUUCCAUCCACCAUUCUUCUAUGCCAAGUUAGAGGGUCUGCUAGAAGAGUCCACUAUAAUCUUUCUGUCGGGAUAAAUAUUAUUUCAAAAGAGUUAGUUACAACUCUUUAUCCCGGCAUGUCCUUAACUCCAUCUCAAAAGCUUUGGCAAGGACCAUCAGGAUUUAUUCUUGAAAGCCAUGGGGUAUUAAGGACUAUUCCUGUUAGAAUAAAGAACUUUGGGAUAUGCCUAGAUUUUCAUAUUUUUUGAGAUCCCAGAGAUUCCUCUCUUGAUUGGUAGACCAAUCAUGAGACUUUGACAAGAACAAACACAACGAGGUCAACUAGAUUUCAAGGUUGGGAAUUCCACUAUUAUUGUCCCUCUUGCCCGAUCUAUUAACACAAUAGUGGAACUUGAACCAGACCCUAUUGAGGAGGUCUUAAUGGUGUCUCAAGAAGAAAUGGUCCAACCAUUCUUUGAUGAAAAACACUUCAUUCACGAAGAGGAAGAGUUGGCCGAGCCCAUUGAGCUAGACAUAAAUGAACAACCUCCACCUCCUUCAAUAGAGUUGAAACCUCUUCCACCUGGACUUAGAUAUGUCUUUCUUCACAACAACCGUAACACUUCUGUCAUCAUUAGUGACAAGCUUUCUGAAUAUGAAACACAACACCUUAUGAUUGUUCUAGAAAGACAUAGAUUAGCCAUAGUCUACUCACUCCAUGAUCUCAAGGGGAUUAGUGUCGCUCUCUUCACACAUCGUAUUCCUACGGAUCUCGAUAUCUCUCCAUCAAGAGAACAUCAAUGUAGGCUUAACAAUGAUAUGUGGGAAGUUGUUAAGAAAGAGGUCCUUAAGCUUUUACACGCUGGGAUUAUUUAUCCUGUUCCACAUAGUGAGCGGGUUAGCCCUGUCCAAGUUGUGCCGAAGAAUGGAGGAAUGACUGUUGUUGAGAAUGAGAGGAAUGAACUCAUUCCUCAACGCAUCAUCACUGGGUGGAGGAUGUGCAUAGAUUAUCGAACACUUAAUAAGGCUACAAAGAAAGAUCACUUCCCGUUACCCUUCAUCGAUGAGAUGUUGGAACGGCUUGAAAAGCACUCUUUCUUUUGUUUCCUUGAUGGGUAUUCUGGUUAUCAUCAAAUUCUGAUCCACCCUGAUGACCAAAGUAAGACUACUUUCACAUGCCCGUAUGGAACUUACGCAUACCGAUGAAUGCCGUUCGGAUUAUGUAAUGUUGUAGCUUCUUUUCAAUGGUGCAUGAUGUCUAUUUUCUCUUACAUGAUCGAGAAAAUCAUGGAUGACUUUACUGUCUAUGGCACAACCUUUAAUGAUUGUCUGGAGAAUCUAGACAAAGUCUUACAAAGAUGCGAAGAAAAUUACUUAGUCCUAAAGUGGGAAAAUGCCAUUUUAUGGUUCGGGAAGGAAUAGUGCUAGGACACAAGGUGUCCGAACAUGGGAUAGAAAUGGAUAGAGCAAAGAUAGAAGUUAUUGAACAACUUCCACUUUCCCACAAAUGUGAAAGGAAUCCGAAGCUUUCUAGGCCAUGCGGGGUUCUAUAGGCAUUUUAUCAAAAACUUUUCUCAAAUCACUAGACCCCUCACUAGACUAUUGGCUAAGGGUGCACCUUUCAUCUUUGAUAAUGAGUGCUAUGAAUCUUUUAAAACCCUCAAACAAGCACUCAUUUUAGCUCCAAUCAUCCAACCACCUGAUUGGACGCUGCCUUUUGAGAUCAUGUGUGAUGCUAGCGAUUUUGCUGUUGGUGCCGUUCUCAGCCAAACAAAGGAUAAAAAGCAUUAUGCUAUAUCCUACGCUAGCAAAACCUUGACUAGACCAUAGCUCAAUUAUGCUACCACUAAGAAAGAGUUGUUGGCAGUUGUCUUUGCAGUAGACAAGUUUAGAUCUUACUUAGUUGGAGCAAAGGUAAUCAUUUAUUCAGACCAUGCUGCUCUUAAAUACCUACUCACUAAGAAAGAUGCUAAACCUCGGUUGAUCCGCUAGAUUCUUCUACUCCAAGAGUUUGAUAUAGAAAUAGAAGAUCAAAAAAGGAGUAGAGAAUUCAGUAGCCGACCACUUGUCUAGGCUUCAUUUCAAGGACACACAUGAGCUUCCCAUCAAUGACUACCUAAGAGAUGAUACCUUGUUCAAGAUAUGAGACUCCAAUCCUUGGUAUGCAGACAUUGUGAACUUUAUAGUAAAGGCUAUGUCCCACCUGGUGUAAAUAAAAGAAAAUUAGUACAUGAUAGCCGUCUUCACCUAUGGGAUGAGCCCUAUCUUUUUUGAAUCUACUCCGAUGGAUUAUUGAGAAGAUGUGUCCCUAUGGCUGAGGCUAUUCAAAUAAUGGAAAGAUGCCAUGCCUCUCCUAUGGAGUACGUUAUGGAGCAUUCCGAACACAUGCCAAGUUUUGGCAAAGUGGUUUCUUCUAUCCAACGAUGUAUGAAGAUACAAAGGAGUUUGUUAGAAGAUGCCACCGAUGUUAGAAGCAUAGGAAUAUCAACUCAUGAAAUGCAAUGCCUCUCACAAACAAUCUCCAAGUUGAACUUUUUGAUGUUUGGGGCAUUGAUUUCAUGGGCCAUUCCUCGUGUCUGGGAAUUGUGAGUAUAUCUUGGUAGCUGUGGACUAUGUGUCCAAAUGGGUAGAAGCACUACCAUGUCGAACAAUAGAUUCUAAACAUGCCAAGAGAAUGUUCCAUGAAGUGAUUGUUGGGUAUUCUUAACAUCAUUACCAAAAGUAGACUAAGUUCUCUAAAUCUAGUAACGGUGCCAAAAAUGCCAAACCUAUCCCUCACACCACUUAAGCCAAGUUGUCAUCCCCAGCAUGAUAUGAGAGACGCGGUAUUGAAAUAUGCAAUUGCUCUUCUAAAUAAAUAAUGAAUGGGAUCUGCAAGCGCACAGAUUAAUACCGAUGUAGCAUUUUAACCGGGAAGUAUUCCAGGUAUCGUUAUUUAUAUUUUUACCACUGGGAAGGGAUUAGCAAUCAUCAAUAUUGAUUACAGAAUAGAAUAUGAGAUUGAGCAUCUAUCAUUGCAUAUGUAAUUGAGAACAUUUAUCUAACUCAUUCAUACAGGGAUAAGUGUCACAUAAAGGAUAUAUGAAAUAAUGAAUAGUGACAAAGAUAAUUAAUCUGAUCAGCCACAUAUAAAUAUGAUAAGCACCUCAAUUAGAUACUCUAGAAAGUCAUUAGCAUGGAAUUAGAACGAACUACAAGAAUAUUUCCUAGGUUAUUCUCAACUAUUGUUGACACCGUUUUUGGGCACGUGUCUAGGAUGGCAGGAUGAGGUGGCAGUACGAUGUUUACGAGGUGAGUUGCCGAUAAGAAUGGUUGCCGAUGAAGGAGAAGUUGAACGUGACUAAGUCUACAGGCAGUGAUAUGACUGUGCCGAUGGCUGGAUAAGAAAGUCUGCCGAUGACUAUGGCAAAGGGUCUGCCGAUGAUGCAAAGAGGGAGUCCGGGAGCUGCCGGUCGUUAUGUGAGGGAGUUUCAGUUUGUCACGGGGGAUAGUUUUGUUAUUUCCUUAAUUAUUUACAUCAUUUUGUAUACGGAUUCCGUAUAGUUUGGAAUUCGAAUUCUAAUCGUUUCUCGUUGUAGCUCUUUGAGCAGGGUAUAAAUAUAGACCCUAGGGCCUUGUAAUGAGACAUCUAUCAAUCAAUCAAACACACGUUUUUACUCAUAUUCCAGCAUCUACUUUUCGACGACUUCGUCAUACUUUUUCCCUUUUAUUACGAGUUCUUAGGAAUUCGUCGACUUAAGCUCGGCGUGUUCUCAAGUUCCGCGUGAGUACCUCUUAGCCGUGACAUCCGGGCGCAUCGCUGUUGUCAGGACUAAAGUAUUCGAGUUAUCACCUUUGCCGAUAGUAAGGUCAAAUCGGCUGGCACGCCUUAACGUUUGAAUCGGGUAUUAGCCCUUUGUGUUUGCAGAUCAGUUUUGCAUCAACACAUCUUUUGGCACGCUCGGUGGGACCAGAUUCAAGAUCAAGAUCAACAUGUCGAUCUCUGACCUCGAUCAAGAGAACGUCAUCCCCGUGACGGAGGCCAAUCUCAAGGAUGAGCAGAAGCAAGCUAUUGCCCAAGUCAUGGAAGAGUUCAAGCAGCAAUGCCUGAGAUCUUUCAGCAUAAAUAGGAGCGGCGAAGUGGUCCAGAAAGAUGCACUACCGGCACCACGGCAGGUUACCUUUGACGCCAAUCCUGGCAAGCUUCAAGACAUGGUUGACAAUGCCAUCAAUCGAGCAUUGAUCAACCAAGCUGGUGUACUGUCUAAUACGGUUUUCAAUGCCGUGGCAAGAACUUUCAAGGAAGGACAAAUCCCACCAAAUUAUGUGGGCCCCUCUCACCAUCAGCCAACGGCACCAGAGGUCACGGCUCCAUCGGAUGCUUUGACGGCUGCAAGUGCACAAUCUGCCGUCCCUCCAAAUACAUCGGGAGCUACUGGUGCACUAUCUAUGCUGAUGACAACCAACCCACAGACUUCAAUUGGGCAGCAUAAACUGACGACAGAUAUGUUGGCAUCGGCAAUGCCAGGGUUGACUCUUCCUCCCAACUGGUGGGGUUACGGUAUGCCUCCAGAGUUGACACCAGGAACAUCACAAAUAACUGACAUGAGGGGCAAGACUCCUAUGACAUCGGCGCCUCCCAAUGCGCCGGUAAACCAGAGUCCUCGGUAUACCACAACUACCACCGCAAGGCCUCACACUGGAAAUCCUCAAGAUUCAAUGCUCCAAAUACCUAAUGCAUCGGCAGAUUCAAUGCUGAUGCAACAGAGGUCUAUGGCACAGUCAGGGUAUGUCAAUUCGAUGAUGAUACCCAAUUACCAAUCAUCGGCAGCACCUAUGCCGAUGAACGCUAAUAAUGGAUGGCUUGGGCAGCAAGUCUUUCCACAAUCGCCCUAGCAGAGUUAUCAGACUACAGGGUUCCAGCAAGGACAGGUCUAUCCCGGGUUCCAAGGUCAGGGGAUUCCCAACCAGCCAAUGAAUUUCGUACAGCAACUCGGGGGACAGCAAAUCGGUGGACAGCAGUUUGGUGGUCCGCAGAUUGGAGGACAGGUGAUCAAUCCAAUGUUCCGUGCAGAUCACGUCCCGAACAGACACGUGGAGGUUCGCCACCAAGUGCCAGAUCCGCAGCCGCCUCAUCGGCAAGAUCCCGAUGCAUAUUGGGCCGAUAAGAUUGCUGAAGUAAUGAGGGAACAAUUUGGGAUAAAACCCAAAGUCAACACUUACUCUUAUCGGACACCGUAUCCUCCCGCGUAUGAUUUGAUCCCGCUUCCACAUCGGUACAAGGUACCAGAUUUUACAAAGUUUUCCGGGCAGGACGACACGUCAACCAUGGAGCAUG